CCUCUCCCCCUAGCCGUACUAGAGGAGGCAAAUCCUCGUACCACGAUUUCACGCUUGACAAGGUAACCCUGAAGUGCCCACGGGGCAUCGACUGGCUGUGGAACGUGAGUUCAAAGGGCUUCUAUCACCCCCUUUCCCAUGUCCACAUUCUGGCCUUUGAUCAAGUAGAGUACGGUGCACGGGGUUCCGUCGGCCUGCAAACACAUGUCUGCGGCAUAAAACAUCUGGAAGGCAACGAAAAUGGAAUAUUCUAGAUAUAUGUUGGUGUGACAUGUAAUUACCGUGAGGGCGUCGAGCUCAGCCAAAGACGAAGGCCCACCUAGCGUGCCAGAGACUGAGAAUGGGCUGCUAUGAGCGGGUGCGGGUGCGGGUGCGGAAGGAGGCCCGGUUGCGUGAGCAGGUGAUGGUGCAGUGGUGUUGUUCACCGAGUUGCUUCCGAAGAAACUAGGCAUGGGGGAAUCAUGUACCAUCUUGUCUGGAUUUUCCUUCGUCCAGUUCAUGAUAGCCGGGAUCAAGUUAGUAGCGAAAUUAGUUCAGCAGGCAUCUACAGAUGUAGCGACUGCCUGCUGUAGCAACUCAUUUCUCUCCUCAGCUACUUUUUCACGUCCUCGGCUGCUUUUUUCUCGAACGCAAGCUUCACCUUUUCGUCGAUGUUCGCCUGACUAAACUUCUUUUUCUGCUUCUUGGCCUUCGGGCCCUCUUUGUAAAAGACCUUCCACAUGGCGCCGUCUCUGGCGUCGUGCACACGUCCAUAUUGUGGCCGCUGCUCCAAAGGGAGUCCCUUUAGUCUGUUCAAGGCCCGACUGAGAGGGGUGUCCCACUUGGGCUUCAUCGGCGAAGUAGGACUUUCGGCUACAAGCUGGUGUUGCUUCUCCUGCAGAAGGAACAUGAACCAUUUAUGAAUGUGUAGUCAACUUGAUCAGAAGCUAAAUGUAAGGUGGUAAAAGAAUUAUUACCAGUAGUCUAAUCAAUUUCCUCGUGAUCUGGUCCGUGUAAAAAACCUUAUUUUCCUUGUCCCACUUGUAGCGGUCCCUGAUGAAGUCACGCUCCAAGGGGUUGGUGAACUUCGCGAAGGGGUCUGGGAGACCCGCGGCUUCACGUUCCGCAUCCUCCUUAUCCCAUAUGGGCCUUUUGCCAAGGUAGCCACGGCUUCCAAGGUGAUGCUUCCCCGUGUUCCUUUGCUGAAGGCUCUUGAAUUUUGCAGUCUUAGCCUUGGCUGCCUUGGUAGUGCAAGUGUCCUUGAAUUUUUCGAACUCCUCUUCCGUAAGUGUCGGAUUUUCCUACAGAAUCUUGGACAGGGGUUCCUCAGCCUCAACAGGUCAUUUCACCCUCCCUUUCCAAGAGGCCAAAUUAUUGCUAAACAUGCCCAUGGCGCGAUUGUUAAUCUUUUUCAUCUUCGGAUCAUCCCACGGUUGCUCUAUGCUAUCAUCCCGGUCGGGAAACUUGAAUCUCUUGUGCAACUUCGUUAGGAGCAACUGCCUCAAAUGUUCUUUACUCCUUAAGUCAUCGUUGUUGAUGGUCGCGCAUUCCCGUAGGAUGCAUCCUACUUGGUUCCCAUAGCACUUGCGAGGUUCUUCCGGCUCUAAUGUCUCAAAUUGCCAGGGGCCAUCUUUGUGAUCACGAGUCGUCCAAUGCCGAGUUUGUUAGGUUUUUGUAUCCUCUGCUUCUUAUUUUCGGUAGCGGCAUCAGCGCCGGUACCUUCAGCGUCGGUAUCUUCCCCGCUGGUACCUUCCCUGCCGGUCUCGGUGCCGCCAUCAUUGCCGGCAUCGUCGGUGUCGAUGUCAGCGUCAGUACCAUCAUCGAGGCUGACCUGCAAACCUUGACUCUGCUUAGCAGACAAAAAGUCGAGGUACUAUUGUUCACCCUCAUAAUCCAUCCCUUCUGCAUCUUGGUCAGAGCGCCCGGUUUCUUCGUUGUUCAACAUGUUUUCUAUGAUUAAGUCUCCUCGUUUAAGUCUAAAACUAUAAAAAAUGAGAAAUGCCAUAAUAAAAAGAUCUAUGUUUGUCGGAAUGAUGUUUCCCAGCAAAUCCCGGCGCCCGAUAUGCCUACUUUCUAGCACAAGUCAUGCCAAAAUUCACGAAAAAUUUCGGCAUGACCUUUGCUAAAAAGUCGACAUAUCAAGCGCCUGAAAUUCACCGGAACAGAAAUGAAACAACAUUCCGGCGAAACAUAGGCCACUCAGAUCAUUUGCCCUGCACAUAAUCAUCAUUUUCCAAAUAUGACAUGUCCAAAACAUCACAUGUCCAAAUAUGACAUGUCCAAAUUCCAAAUAUGACAUCUACAAAUCACAUGUCCACAUAUCACAUGUCCACAUAGCACAAGUCAUUUUUCUUCAAAAUAUUUGAAACUAAAUUCAGCCUACCUAAAUUUGAAACUAAAAAUAUUUGAAACUAAAUAGAUAACCUAAUUAACCUACUGCCCUAACUAAAACCUAACUAAAUUAACCGAAGAACCCUAGCUAGCAGAGAGAGGAGGAGCGGUGGGAGCUUACAGAGGGUGCAGGGGCAAGGAGGCAGGCCCGACGACGGCCGAGGUUGGGAGGUCGGGGGCAAGGGCGAGGUCGUCGGGCUCGGGGGCGAGCGCCGGGUCCGGGGUCGGGGGCAAGGGCGAGGUGGCCGGGGUCAGGGCAAGCACCGGGGUCAGGGACGAGGGCGGAAGAGAGAGUAGGGAUUUGGGUGAGGAAGCAAUGGCUGGAAGAAGCAGAGAGUGGGAAUUUUGGGUGUUAAGUCAGAAUAGCAGUAGCGUGUUUGAGCUAAACACGCUAUAGCUAACUUAGCUAUAGCGCAUUUCGCAAACGCGCUACUACUAUCAUAGGUAGUUAUAGCAUGUUUCUGUGGCUGGGCUGCUGCUAGUGUGACUAGUUGUAGCCCGUUUUCAGAAAAACUCUACCGCUAUAACGAGUACCUAUAUCAGUUUUCCUGUUGGUUUCUUCUAUUUUCUUUUCCAUUAUUUUCUCUCCCUUUUCUUUUCUUCUUUUUCUUUUCUUUUUUUCCGAGAUCAGGAACGAAGGGAAGGUGAUACGAUGUAUAUAACUAAGGCGAUAUAUAUUGCAUCAUUUGACGGUUAAGUAUGUAUACAAAAUAGUAACAUACUCCCUCCUUCCCUGUUUAUAGGGCUUAUCUCAAAAAAAUUGGUUUCCUGUUUUAUAAGUCUCAGUUUGAUUGUUCUCCAUCACGUCCUCAGAUUUCAAGGUGCAUUAAUUCAUUGCAUGCAAGGAUUAUGAGAAACUUGACCAAUGCAUGUACUUCAUGCAUGCAUGCAUUGCAAUUAAUGCAUUGGUAACACAAUUCUUUCAAUAGAAUGAGCGUGUUAAUUGAGUGCUUUUACAAACCACGGAAAUUAUUCCACCACUCAUCAUCUACCUUGGUUGGUGAGAUUUUUGAAUUGAGCCCUAUAAACCGGAAAGGAGGUAGUAUAUAUUAUAUCAUUUGACCCAUGCAUAACGAUUAAGUGUGUACACAAAAUAGGAACAUAUAUAUUACAUCAUUUGAACGAUAAUGGUUCCUCAGUGUCGACGUUUUUGAUUUUUGAGUGAGCUUCUUUCCCUUCUUGUUCGUUGAUGAAUAAUUGAGCCCCUCAUUGUGACUUUUCCUUUUCCAUGGAGUACGAUCUUUCUUAGGUAAUGUAGUAUCAAUUCUUCUUUUGUCGUAUACUUCAUCAUCAUUGUCAUCGUCAUCUUUGUCGUACUGCUCGUAGUCUUCCUCGUUGGCGACUCCAUCUAUUCCAAUGAUGUUCCUUUUGCCUCUCCUCACGACAACACGGCUGGGAUUGCAUGGAUCGGUUAUGAAGAAGCAUUGUGUCACGUGCUUAGCAUGUACCCAUGGCUCAUUUUUUGCGAUAGCGUUCCGGUACCACUCUUGGCGUCGGGUAUAGUCAUGGUAGUGAAAUACCGGUUUUCUCUUUCAACAUUCUUAGCCCAUCUGACACGGAACAUCGUCGCAUUGUGCAGUCCAGAGUAGUCAAGCUCCCAGAUCUCCUCGACCCUUCGGUAAAAUCUCUCAGUUGUGUUGUUGUCGCUACCGGUCAUGCAUUCCAUCGUCACCUUGAGUUCCGCUCAUCAUUGUCCAUAUCUUUGGCCUCCAUGUAGAACAUGUAUUCAUUGAUAUCGUAUGCCAGAUAGGUGAUGAGGUUGGGCGAGGGGCUGUGGGCUAAGGCAUAUAUGAGCAAUCCGUCCUUAGAGCCCUCUUCCGGGAGAUUAGCAAUAAUAUGCUCUUUGAACCAAUGCAGGAAAGUGGAGUUGUGCUCUCUAGUAACUUCGGCGUCCGUCUUGCAUACCCCCCUGUCAUGAUACUUCUUUGCGAUAGCUUCUUUGUGCAGUGCCACGAAAGGAUCUACCUGGUCUAGAUGUUGUAGCACUACCAAGUUUGCUCUGUCAAAGUCGUUGCGUCGAUCUGAGUAGGCCACAUGCAGUUCCCUGCGACCAUUGGAGUGACCUUCUCCUUCGAGCCUCCCAUCGUGCUUGUUAACGGCCAAACCAACACUAGGCGGCCGGUCUGCACCAUAUAGAAAAUUCUCGCAGAAAGAGAUGCACUCUUGUAUCAUAUAGCCCUGCAUGAUGCUUCCAUCCGGAUGGUACAUGUUACGAACGAAUCCUUUGAUGAUCCCAUUCAUCCUCUCAAAUGGCAUCAUGUUAUGCAGGAAUGACGGUCCCAGGUCUAUUAUGUCGUCCACAAUAUGGACACACAGAUGCACCAUGACGUCAAAGAACACGGGCAGGAAGUACAUCUCAAGCUCAUUUAGUAUCACAACGAUCUCUUCCUGUAGCCUUCGGAGCUGCUUCACACUGAUCGACUUUCAAGAGAUGACGUCGAAAAAGUUGCAGAGACCAAUAAGCGUGUCACAGACGUGUUUGUCCAUUAUCCCUCUAAGGGCAACAUGCAGUAUUUGCAUCAUCAUCACAUGAGAGUCAUGGGACUUCAUCCCGCUGAACCUUUUCUUCUUCGUGUCUAGAUAUCUGCUUAUCUUGCCACAGUAAUCAGAACUAACUUUGAUUCCGGUAAGGCACUUGAAGAAUUGAUCGAUCUCAGUCGGACUUCAGGUGAAGCAAGAAGGGGGGCAAUAAUCCUCUUCCUUUAAUUUUUUGCCCUUCUUCUCCCACGCCUCUGUCUCCAUCUCUGUCUCCUCUGACUUUUUACGGGGCGGCAUGUGUAGAUCUUCCCUGAUCUCCAAAUCCUGCAAGUCUUUUCUUGCCUUCGGCCCAUCCUUGGUCUUAUCCGGCAUGUUCAUCAGUGUUGCAAGCAAGCUCUCAAGGACAUUCUUACUGAUAUGCAUUUGAUCAAGGCAAUGAGGCAUGUCGAGUUUGUGCCAGUACUCCAAGUCCCAGAAAACAGACCUCGUCUUCCAUACCUCCAGCAGCGGCUCCGACGCCUUUUUCAUCGUAUUUCCCGGCGCGUGGCACUGUCCCCAGUUUUUCAACAGCUCAUCGAUUUCGGCGCCGCUCCGCCUAUGCGGAGGUCCUCGAUUCUCAGCCUCACCAUUGAAUAGAUCUCCAUGGUUUCUCCACGGGUUGUCCUUCUCAAGCCAUCUUCGAUACCCCAUGUACACAAUUUUCCAGACCCGCCAUCUUUCCUUGGUGUUAGCUACUCAGACGUCGUAUCAUCCAUGCACCGCGUGCAUCCGCAAUAUCCAUGGCACACCUUGCCUGCGACAUAUCCGUAACCGAGAUAGUCAUGCAUCGUUGUGAUCAACGCGGCUCUCAUAUAGAAAUACUCGCGUUUGCCAGCGUCCCAUGUCUUGGCCGGUGUUUUCCAUAACGUGUCUAACUCCUCUUGAAGUAGCCCAGAUACAAAUUAAUAUUAUUUCCCGGUUGUUUCGACCCUUGAAUCAGCAUGCUCAUGUGUAUGUACUUCGACUUCAUGCACAACUAGGGGGGAGGUUAUACAUCCAUACAAACACGGGCCAUGUGCUAUGGUUGGUGUUCUGGUUGCCAAACAGAUUCAUGCCAUCGGUACACGCGCCGAGCACGAUGUUCCUUGCAUCACAUGCAAAAUACCAAUAUUCGUCGUUGAACGCUUUCCACUGGCUUCCAUCCACGACGUGUCUCAGCUUUGGAUCAUAUCCAUCGUCGGGCUUCUUCCUCUCCGCGUGCCAGCACAUGAGCUUUGCUUCCUUGGGAUCUAUGAAAUACCGUUGUAGACGCGGAGUGAUUGGUAAGUACCAUACAAUUUUCUGGGGAUAUUUCUUCCCAGCCUUCUUGUAUCGAGAAGCAUUGCACACCGGACAGCUUGUUUUUCCGCGUGUUCCUCCCGAUAAAUUAUGCAAUCGUUGAUGCAUGCAUGGUAUCUAACGUGCGGCAGUUCAAGAGGGCACACGAUCUUCUUGGCCCCAUCCACACUAGUAGGCCAUAGAUUCCCCGCGGGAAGAACAUCCUUUAGGUACUUGAGAAGCUCAUCGAGGCUAGUGUCGGUCCAUUUGUUUUUAGCCUUCGUCUUCACGAGUUCGAGCAUGAAACUCAAGCGGGUCACCUCGGGAUUGCAACCAUCAUACAAUGGAGUGUUCGAGUCUACCACCAGUUGCUGCAGCUUCGCCUCCUCUCUAGAAGCAGCUCUCUCAGUACUCGUUUCCUUGAGAAGCAGUGCUUGAACAUGAGGGUCCCGCAUGAUUGAACGUAGUACCAACGAAGUCUGCGGCGUGGAGUCCAUGGUUUCUCCGCCGCCAUGUCCGGCCCCUUCUUCGCCGCCAUUAUCGAUCAUCUCUUCGUCUUGCCCCGUGUCGUCAUUGCCUGCCCCAUCGGCGUCCUCAACAUCAUCAUCAUCAUCUUCAAUUAUCCACCGAGUAUAGCCAUCCACGAAACCAGUCAUGAGCAGGUGCGCCAUCGCAUCAUAGGGGUCGAACCAAACUCUCCCUUUGCAUCUUCGACACGGACAUAAAACCACUGUCAGGUUAUUUUCUUUCAGGUCCUGCACCGUCGACCGCAACCACCUGUCCACCACUGUUUCACUGACCAUCAUGAACGCUGAUACGUCUCCAACAUAUCUAUAAUUUUUGAUUGUUCCAUGCUAUUAUAUUACCCAUUUUGGAUGUUUAUGGGCUUUACUUUACACAUUUAUAUCAUUUUUGGGACUAACCUACUAACCGGAGGCCCAGCCCGUAUUGCUAUUUUUUUGCCUAUUUCGGUGUUUCGAAGAAAAGGAAUAUCAAACGGAGCCCAAAUGGAAUGAAACAUCCGGGAGCGUGAUUUUUGGAACGAACGUGAUCCAGAGGACUUGGAGUGCAAGUCAAGAAGCAGUCGAGGCGGCCACGAUGGUGGAGGGCGCGCCCACCCCUACAGGCGUCCUCGAAUUAUCAGUUUGGUUUGGCCUACUAGAUUGUUCUUUCUUGCAAUGGGAGAAGUGCUUAGCUUUGGGUUCAAUCUUGUGGUGUCCUUUCCCAGUGACAGCAGGGGCAGCAAGGCACGUAUUGUAUUGUUGCCAUUGAGGAUAAAAAGAUGGGGUUUAUAUCAUAUUGCGUGAGUUUAUCCUUCUACAUCAUGUCAUUUUUCUUAAUGCAUUACUCUGUUCUUUAUGAACUUAAUACUCUAGAUGCAUUCUGGAUAGCGGUCGAUGUGUGGAGUAAUAGUAGUAGAUGCAGGCAGGAGUCGGUCUACUUGUCACGGAAGUGAUGCCUAUAUACAUGAUCAUGCCUAGAUAAUCUCAUAAUUAUUCGCUUUUCUAUCAAUUGCUCGACAAUAAUUUUUUCACCCACCGUAAUACUUAUGCUAUCUUGAGAGAAGCCACUAGUGAAACCUAUGGCCCCCGGAUCUAUCUUUUAUCAUACAAGCUUUCAAUCUACUUUUAUUUGCAUCUUUAGUUUUCCAAUCUAUAUUAUAAAAUACCAAAAAUAUAUUUAUCUUAUCAUAUUAUCUCUAUCAGAUCUCACUUUUGCAAGUGGCCGUGAAGGGAUUGACAACCCCUUUAUUGCAUUGGUUGCGAGUUCUUUGUUUGUUUGUGUAGGUGCGUGAGACUUUUGAGGAGCCUCCUACUGGAUAGAUACGUUGGUUCUCAAAAACUGAGGGAAAAUACUUACGCUACUAUUGAUGCAUCACCCUUUCCUCUUCAAGGAAAACCAACGCAAGCUCAAGACAUAGCAAGAAGGAUUUCUGGCGCCGUUGCCGGGGAGGUCUUCAUUGAAGUCAAGACAUACCAAGUACCCAUCACAAACUAUUUCCCUCGCAUUUACAUUAUUUGCCAUUUGUCUCUCGUUUUCCUCUCCCCCACUUCACCCUUGUCGUUUUAUUCGCACUCUCUUUCCCUUUCUUCUCCUCUCUCUCUUUCGCUUGCCUUUUUCUGUUUACUCGUGUGUUAGAUCGUUUACCUUGUCAUAAUGUCUAGUCCUCCUAUCCUUGUUAUUACUCCCGAACAUGAAAUUCUCAAUUUUAAACAAAGGGAGGGAGAAAAUUUAAAAGAUGCUUGGCAUAGAAUUUGCAAUGCUCAAAAUAAAUCUACUUGGAAGCUUUCUACUUCUGUUCUUCUUCGCAAUUUUUAUGUAGGCAUUACUCCUUGGAAUAGAUGUAUUCUUGAUACCAUUACCGAAGGGUAUUUCUUGAGUAGCCAUACGUUUGAUGCUUAUAAUGCUAUGUUAGAUUUAUUUGGCCCACCACCAUUUUUGGUUAAUGGAACUAUUUUAACUUUGGAACAUGUGAUGCAAAGGCUUGAAAUUAUUGAAAAUAAAGUUGCCACUGUUGAGUUAAUUGAAAAUUUGGAUAAAAAUAUUCAUAAUCAUAUUACCCAAUAUGGAUCUAGGGUUGGAGUUACUUUGAAAUUUUUUAAAGAGAAAGAACUUAUAGUCAACGAAAGAAUAGAUCUAGAUUCUGCGAGAAUCGGUAAACUUGAGGAUAUCAUUACCGACCUAGGGUCGGCGUUUUCUUCCGUGAAAAACACUCCAAAUCCUCCUACAAAAACUGCCAAAUUUAUCUAUGUUCCUAAAAAUAAGGGUGAAUCUUCUAGUAAGGGAAAUACGGAUCUCAAAUCAAUAAGUGUUCAUCCCAAUUGUCUCUCUAUCAUUAAGGAACCUUUUUCUACAAAUGAAUUUCUUGAAUUCUUGCCUAAGGGUUUAAUCAUUGCUAAAAAGGGAUAAACCCCUAAAGAUUAUAAGUGCUCUAUUGAGGAAUUGAGUGCCAAAGAUGGCACUACUUGAAUCUAUCCUUGCUUUUAUGCCUAGCUAGGGGCGUUAAACGAUAGCGCUAGUUGGGAGGCAACCCAAUUUUAUUUGUGUUUUAUGUUUUUGUUCCUGUUUAGUAAUAAAUUUUGCAUCUACCUUCUGUUUAGAUAUGUUUUUAUGUUUUAAGUAGUGUUUGUGCCAAGUAGAACCUAUAGGAUAACCUAUGGUGAUAGUUAAUUUGAUUUUGCUGAAAAACAGAAACUUUGCGCGCACGAAAUUAGUUUUGUUAAUUCACAGAAACGUGCUUUUGUGUUGAUUCUUUUUGCUGUAGAUCAAUAGACAAAUUAUCCAGGACUUCCUAUUUUGGUAGGAUAUUUAGAGUUCCAGAAGUAUUCGAGGAUUAUAGAUUGCUACAGACUGUUUUGUUUUUGACAGAUUCUGCCUUUCGCGUGUUGUUUGCUUAUUUUGAUGCAUCUAUGGCUAGUAUUAAGUGGUAUGAACCAUAGAGAACUUGAAAUACAGUAGUUUUAACACCAAUAUAAAUAAAGCAUGAGUUCAUUACAGUACCUUAUGUGGUGGUUUUGCUUUCUUUCACUAACGGAGCUUAUGAGAUUUUCUGUUGAGUUUUGUGUUGUGAAGUUUUCAAGUUUUGGGUAAAGAUUUGAUGGAAUAUGGAAUAAGGAGUGGCAAAAGCCUAAGCUUGGGGACGCCGAUGGCACCCCAAGAUAUUCAAGAAUAGCCAAAAGCCUAAGCUUGGGGAUGCCCUCGGAAGGCAUCCCCUCUUUCGUCUUCGUUUAUCGGUAACUUUACUUGGAGCUAUAUUUUUAUUCGCCACAUGAUAUGUGUUUUUCUUGGAGCGUCUUGUAUGAUAUUAGUCUUUGCUUUUUAAUUUUCCACAGUCAUCCUUGCUGUACACACCUUUUGGGAGAAGCCCACUUGAUUGGAAUUUGUUAGAAUACUCUAUGUGCUUCAGUUAUAUCUUUUGAGCUAGAUAGUUUUUGCUCUAGUGCUUCACUUAUAUCUUUUAGAGCACGACGGUGGCUUAAUUUUGAAGAAAUUGUUAAUCUCUCAUGCUUCACUUAUAUUAUUUUUAGAGUCUUUUAGAACAGCAUGGUAUUUGCUAUGGUUAUAAGUUUGGUCCUAGAAUGAUGAGCAUCCAAGUUGGGUAUAAUAAAACUAUCAUAGAAAGUGCAUAAAACACUAGGAUCAAUUUGAUGCUUGAAAAUUGUUUUGAGAUAUAGAGGUGGUAAUGUUAGAGUCAUGCUAGUGGGUAAUUAUGAAAUUGAGAAAUACUUGUGUUGAAGUUGGCAAGUCCUGUAGCAUGCACGUAUGGUAAAAUUUGUGUGACAAAUUUGUUGCAUGAGGUGCUCUUUGAAUUGUCUUCCUUAUGAGUGGAGGUCGGGAUCGCGUGAUGGUUAACUCCUACCAACCCUUCCCCUAGGAGCAUGCAUAGUAGUACUUUGCUUUGAGGGCAAGUAGACUUUUGCAAUAAGUAUAUGAGUUCUUUAAGACUAAUGUGAGUGCAUGGAUAUACGCACACUCACCUUUCCACUUUGCUAGCCUCUAUUAUACCGCUCAACUUUCGUUGGUAUCAUGCACCCAUUAUUUACCUUCCUUAAAACAGCCACCAUACCUACCUAUUAUGGCAUUUCCCUAGCCAUUCUGAGAUAUAUUGCCAUGCAACUUUCCACCGUUCCGUUAUUAUGACACGCUUCAUCAUUGUCAUAUUGCUCUUUGCAUGAUCAUGUAGUUUACAUUGUAUUUGUGGCAAGGCCACCCUCAUAACUUUCAUACAUGUUACUCUUGAUUCGUUGCAUAUCCCGGUACACCGCCGGAGGCAUUCAUAUAGAGUCAUAUCUUGUUUUAAGUAUUGAGUUGUAAUCUUGAGUUGUAAGUAAAUCUUGAGUUGUAAUCUUGAUCUUCAUUAGAGCAUUGUCCCAGUGAGGAAAGGAUGAUGGAGACUAUGAUUCCCCCACAAGUCGGGAUGAGACUUCGGACUUUAUAAGAAAAAAAAGAGGCCAAAGAGCCCACCAAAGAAAAAAAAGAAAGGCCAAAAGAAAAAAAGGGAAGGCCCCAAAAGAAAAAAAAGAAAAAAAAAAGAAAAAAUGAGGGAAAAAAGAGAGAAGGGACAAUGCUACUAUCUUUUUUUCCACACUUGUGCUUCGAAAUAGCACCAUGAUCUUCAUGAUAGAGAGUCUCUUAUGUUGUCACUUUCAUAUACUAAGUGGGAAUUUUUCAUUAUAGAACUUGGCUUGUAUAUUCCAAUGAUGGGCUUCCUCAAAACGCCCUAGGUCUUCGUGAGAAAGCGAGUAGGAUGGACACCCACUUAGUUUCUUUUGUUGAGCUUUCAUACAUUUAUAGCUCUAGUGCAUUUGUUGCAUGGCAAUCCCUACUCACUCACAUUGAUAUCUAUUGAUGGGCAUCUCCAUAGCCCGUUGAUACGCCUAGUUGAUGUGAGACUAUCUUCUCCCCUUUUUGUCCUCACAACCACCACCAUAUACCAUCAUAGUGUUAUGUCCAUGGCUUGCGCUCAUGUAUUGCGUAAGAGUUGAAAAAGCUGAAGCGUGCUAAAAAGUAUGAAUCAAUUGCUUGGCUGAAACCGGGGUUGUGCAUGAUGGGAGUAUUUUGUGUAAUGAAAAUGAAGCAUGGCCUAACUAUAUGAUUUUGUAGGGAUAAGUAUGUCUAGAGGGGGGGUGAUUAGACUACUUGACCAAAUAAAACUUAUCCUUUUCCCAGUUUUAGUCUUUGGCAGAUUUAAGCUAACUUAGCACAAGUCAAGCAAUCUCAACACAAUUCAAGCAAGCAUGCCAAGAGUAUAUGAGCAGCGGAAAGUAAAGCAUGCAACUUGCAAGAAUGUAAAGGGAAGGGUUUGGAGAAUUGAAACGCAAUUGGAGACACGGAUGUUUUUGUCAUGGUUCCGAUAGGUGGUGCUAUCGUACAUCCACGUUGAUGGAGACUUCAACCCACGAAGGGUAACGGCUGCGCGAGUCAAUGGAGGGCUCCACCCAAGAAGGGUCCACGAAGAAGCAACCUUGUCUAUCCCACCAUGGCCGUCGCCCAUGAAGGACUUGCCUCACUAGCGGUAGAUCUUCACGAAGUAGGCGAUCUCCUUGCCCUUACAAACUCCUUGGGUCAAAUCCACAAUCUUGUCGGAGGCUCCCAAGUGACACCUAGCCAAUCUAGGAGACACCACUCUCCAAGAAGUAACAAAUGGUGUGUUGAUGAUGAACUCCUUGCUCUUAUGCUUCAAAUGAUAGUCUCCCCAACACUCUACUCUCUCUCAUAGGAUUUGGAUUUGGUGGAAAGAAGAUUUGAGUGGAAAGCAACUUGGGGAAGGCUAGAGAACAAGAUUCAUAUGGUAGGAAUGGAAUAUCUUUGCCUCAACACAAGUGUAGGUGGUUCUCUCUCAGAAAAUGCAAGUUGGAAGUGUAGGUUCGUUCUAAUGGCUCUCUCCACGAAUGAAGAGUGGGUGGAGGGUUAUAUAUAGCCUCCACAUAAAAUCUAACCAUUACACACAACUUGCCAAUCUCGGUGGGACCGAAUUGAGAAACUCGGUCGGACCGAUUCAGCAAAUCUAGUGACCGUUAGGAUUUUUGGUGGGACCGACAUGCAACUCGGUAGGAACAAUAUGGUUAGGGUUAGGGCAUAAUGUAAUCUCGGUGAGACCGAUUACACAAACUCGGUGGGACCUAUUUUGGUAAUAAGCUAACCAGAGAGUUGGUCAGGUAAACUCGGUGGGACCGGUUCGCUCAUUUCGGUGAGACCAAAAUGUUACGAAAAGGAAACAGAGAGUUUACAUUGCAAUGUCAAUGGGACCGAUCGCUCAUCUCGGUGGUACCGAAACGUUACGAAGGGAAACAGAGAGAUUACAAUCCCAUCUCGGUGAGACCGAGAUCCCUAUCGGUGAGACCGAUUUUCCUAGGGUUUGUGGCAGUGGCUAUGACAUCUGAACUCAGUGGCGCUGGAUAGAAAGAAUCAGUGGGGCUGAGUUUGACUUUUGGUUUAGGUCAUAUGUGGAUGUGAGAAAGUAGUUGAGGGCUUUGGAGCAUAUCACUAAGCAUUUUGAGCAAGUAAGCCAGUAAGCAACACCUCAUCCCUCCUUGAUAGUAUUGGUUUUCCUAUAGAAUCAAUGUGAUCUUGGAUCACUAAAAUAUAAAAUGUAGAGUCUUGAGCUUUGAGCUUGAGCCAAUCCUUUUGUCCUUCGCAUUUUGAGGGAUCCACUUUUCUCAUCCAUGCCAUGCCAAUCAUUGAGCUCUCCUGAAAUAUUCAUCUUGAAAUAGCAUUAGCUCAAUGAGCUAUAUGUUGUUAGGAAUUACCAAAACCACCUAGGGAUAGUUGCACUUUCAAUCUCCCCCUUUUUGCUAAUUGAUGACAACAUAUAGAUCAAAGCUUCGACAAAUGAUAGUAAGAUUGAAAAACAUUGUCGCUUUUGAGAAGUAUGUGAAAUGUAAGAGCUCCCCCUAUAUUUGUGCAUAGUUUAAGAUUUGCUUUGGACUGCAAAUGCACAAUGAGUUAGGAUCAUGAGUUACUCUUCCAUGUCACAUACAUCUUGGUGGAGCGCUCAAAAUGAUAAUAAUUAAAUACAUGCACUCAUCACCAAGCAAAGUGAAUGAUCAUAUAAAGAUAAAAGGAUAAUGUCAUCCAACAAGCAUUAAGGUAGCAUAUGAUCAAACACCUGAUCAUCCAAGUAUCUCACAAAAGCAUGAAGUAUCUCAAACAAGCAAACAAAGUUCAACCACCAAAACAAGAGAGAACAAAAGCAACACUCUCUCUCGAAGCCUAUGAUCUAUACAUUUUUCUCCCCCUUUGGCAACAAGUUACCAAAAAGUUCAUAAAAAUGCAUAGUACUAAAUCAACUCUCAGGCUUGGUCUUCAGGUGGUGGUGUAGAUAAGACUCCAAGGACGAACGCAUCAGUUGAUGUAGAUGGAGCUAGUGGAGUAGAUGCUGGAGCUGGUGGCACUGAAGCUGUAACUGGUGCAGAUGAAGUGGCUCUGGUGUCUGGAACAGGCACUACAACUGAUCUCUGGCUCCUAGGCACUCUGGCAAAAUCAUCAGUAGUAGUCUUGCCCUUCCUCUCCUGCAUGUCAUCCUGAAGUUGCUCAACAACUGAUUGUAUCUCACUGACCUUCACAUCCAAGUAAUAGAACUUCUGCUCCAUGAUCCUCUCCAGUCUCUCCUGGUUUUGAGUCAGGGUGGCCAAUCCCUUCUCAAUCCUCAGAGUUGAGGCAAUCAAGUAGACAAGCUGAUCUUGCUUGCUCUUCAAGAAUGACUGAGAUGCCUCAUCAAUGGUUGGCAUCUCUGCAGCCUUUUCAGUCCUUGCCUUCUCCUUUUGCUUGUGCUUGCACAGAAGAUGGUUCAUCUUCAUCCAUUACCACUGUGUUAUCCUCAAAAUCUGGAUAGAUGGGCAUGUGUUCCUUGUCCAAGAGGUAUGUUCCUGUGCCCAUCUUGGAGUUGAUUAGCUCCUGGAUCUGUGGGGCAUAUCCACAACUUCUCUUCUGAUUUGCAGCAGUCCUCUUGAUAGUUUCUACUAUGAGGCUCACAACCUUGAACUUUUGAGGCACAUCAAAUAUGUGAAGUAGGUUGAUGGCAUGGCCUCUGAUCAUCUUGUGAUAUAUAGACUUAGGCAAAAGAGUGUGACUGAGGAUCCAGUUGAUUGUUGGCAAUCCUGGCAGAAGGUAAUGUACUGAUCCAAACUUGUGUGUCUCAAUAGCAGGAUAUGGGAUCUCUCUGUACAUGUGUGCCAUGGAGUUGUGAUCCUUCUUGUUCUUGGCAUGGACAUCCAAGUCAUCCUCUUUUUCCUUAGGUGCAUUGAUCAACUUUGCCCAUUCUUCAACUGAUGAUUGGUACCUUGUACCUUCAGACAUCCAGAGAAUCCUUCCAUCUGGGUAGAAGUGGGAUGUGGAGUAGAACUGCAUAAUAAGCUCACCAUUCCACUUUGUGAGCUUCUGCCCAACAAAGUCAUCCACCCCACAAGCAUUCAAACUGUCAUACACCCCUGGAUAAUGCUCUUCAUUCUUCCUGAUGUACUCCCAGUCUACCCAUCUCAUAUCACAAACAAUUGGCUUCUUGUCAAGCAGCACAGUCUCAUAGAAGUCCUGAUGUUCCUUUGUAUGGAACCUGUAGUAGCAGUUCUCCUCCUGACUGCAUAGGGAUCAGUCAACCUCCACUGCCUGAGACAUGCAUCCUUUCUCAGCUUCAUAUCCUCAGCUACAGGAUGAACAUCAUUGUGAUCUGGAAUUUUGGGCUUCAACUUUCUCAAGACAUGUUCCUCAUCAUCUUCUUCUUCAACAGCAGCUUCAGGCACUGGGGCCUUGUUCUUCUCUCCAGCAGGAAUAUUCCUUGUAUUCCUCUUGGGUGCAGAUUUGGGCUUUGGGGCAGCUGCCUUAGGAGCUUCUUUGGGCUUUGAUGAAGCAGCCCCUGACCUAAUGGCAUUACCCAUAAGCUUCUGAGCUUUAGGUGCUGGUGCAGCAACCUCUUCUUCUUCCUCCUCUUCCAUCAUGGAAGGCUUUCCAACAACCCUGGACAUGGUCUUCUUGACCCUUUCCUUCCUCUUCUUCCCUUCUGUAGCAGCCUCUUUGGGUUCAGAUUCCAAAGGUACUUGAGUAGAGGCUCUGGCCUUAGACAUGGGAAUUCUCUUUGCAGGUGCUUUGGUCUUCAUACUAGGCUUAGUGGCAGCAGCUGUGCCAUAUUCCUUCUUGAGCACCUUCUUCUUGGAAGUGGCCUCAUCCUCAAUAGCCACAUAGUCUUCAUCCUCAAAAUAUGAGGUUCUCUUCUUUCUGGCCCUGGUGGCUGCCUUGGGUAAGUUGCUGGGUGUCCUCCUGCUUCCAUCAUCAUAGCUGCUGGAGGGACUAGUGCCCUCACUCAUCUGAACCUGCUCCUCAGACUUGUUCUGACUGUCACUUUGAUCAGACAUGUUGCAAACAUUGACAGUAGACCCUGUGAAUAGAUAUAGAUGAGGUAGAGUAGAUGAGCAUCACAAAAAUACAAAGGUUUUUGUAAAAGAAUGAGUCAAAAACUUAGUUUUAGUUUUCCACAGAAAGCAUUUCGGAUCUACCGAUUUGUAAACUCGGUGAUACCGAAGCAGCUUUUGGAACCUAAACUAGUGAACCCGGUCAGACCAAGUCACAGUUCGGUGGCACCGAGACUGCUAGGGUUUCAUAAAGUCCUGAACUCGGUCACACCGAUUUGAAAUUCUCAGUUAGACCGAGAAUCACAUGUGCAAUGGCCUUAGCCGAAUUGGUGGAACCGAGUUCUACAACUCGAUUGGUCCGAGAUGGUUUCGGCGGAAACCUAACCCUAAAUUUUCAAUUCACAUCUAAACUACGGAGUGUUUUCGGUGGAUAAGAUCAUCUCAAUCGUGGCAAGAUUAAGGGCAAAACAAUGUGCUAGGAAUUCGGAGUGGAAUAGCACAAAGGUCAAGUCCAUACCCUAGUUCGGCGAUGGACUUGCUACGAUGGCAACGGCGGAGAAGAAUUCCAUUGACGGCGGCGGAGACCAGUGGCUGGAGGCAGCUGGCGACGAGGAGGACGAUCUGGAGACCCAGGGAGGCAGAGCAGGCUGAGCGCGGGCGAAAGAGUUCGGAGAAAUUUCCAGAAUUUGACCCGUGGAUAUAUAUAGCCUCACCCUGUCGGUGUGACCGAGUGGAACAACUCGGUGGCACCAAGAUGCACAACUGCUAGCAGUUACAGCCACUCGGUGUGACCAAAAAGUUCAAAUCGGUUGCACCGGAAUUGAAGACCUAGAUCGACUUAGUGAUCUCGGUAUGACCGAAAUGGAAGAAUCGUUCAGACCGAAACGCACAAAGAAGUUUUGGAAGUUUAAGUCUAUGACGAAUCGGAGACUCUGAGUGCUCCUCACACAGAGUGGUUCGAAUCUGACUUGAUCAAACUUUGUGAUGUAGCAUGAAUAGAGUUUGAGACAAGAAAAGCAUAGACAGCUAGAGAAGGUUCUUAGGCAUUCUUAUCCAUCCACUUGGCAAAAGAAAAGAGACCAAUCAAUCAAAACAACAAGUGGAUGUCCUCAAAUGAGUAAAAUAUGCAACCAACAUGCUCACACAAUAAAAUGACAAAUGAAAUAUGUGGCAAAGCAUGCACAACCAUUCUAGCAUCUAUCAAGCAAUUUGCGAUAGGUCAUCUAUAUAUGAGUAUAUUGACUUAGGAGUCAAAUGAUAACAUUUGAUAAUAGGUCAUACUCAUCGUUUAAGCUCAAGUGGGGUUGCCACUUUUACAUAAUGCAUUGUUGUGUUCACACCAUUAGAGUUGCUUUGACUCAAUUCUUAGAGUAAAGCUCCCCCUAGAUAUGAGAUCCCCCCUAAGAGGGAUGAACUAACCUUGGGUUUUGUCGAUGAUGACUUCAUGUAGGUGUUGAAGAUGUGGAUGCUCAAUGUUGAUGUAGAUCAUUUGGAGCAAUCCUUUGGAGUGAGUUGCGCUUUCAAUACCUACACGGGUUAGUCCCACAAGGAACAAACAAGGAUAUCCAUAGACAUAGAGUGAUGCACACACAAAAUGAUGUCUAUGAAAGCAUUAGGUUACCUUGUCUUACCAACAAGAGGGUUUGUGACUCCAUGAACUAGUGCAAGAUGUGGAAGUUUAUUCCACUUGUCCUUGCCAAAAUGAUGACAGUGAAGUAUGUUGGCGGAGUCACCCUCAAGAACUCUCUAGUUCUUCUUCUUCGGGAUCCACAUCAUCUUAAUAGGAAUCCUUGGAGUUGUAGACGUACUUGAUGAAGUAGAACUUGACGUAGUCUUGGGAACCCACUUGACCAAAGCCUUGGGAGCUUCUUCAAAUGCAUCAAUCUCCUCUUGAAGCUCAUCCUUGCCUUUUUGCUUGUGGUCUUGUGGUGGAGGAUCAUCUCGAGCUUGUGUCCCUUUGAAGGAAGUAGGAUCAUACUUCUCUUGUUGAGGAACAAACUUCGUCUUGGGGUAUUGAUCUUCUUCCCACUCAACUCCAUUGGCAUUGAACUUUCGUUCAAAACCAACACCUUGGUUCUUCCGGUGCCUUCCUUGCUUGCGUACAAUUUCCUCGAAUUGCUUACUCCCGGAAAGGCUCUUGUAAACACCUUUCUCUAUAACUCCCUUCAAUAAGCUAUUUUCUUGCUCAAGUGUAACUUGGCUAAGAGAACCAUUAGUGGAAUCAAGAGAACUACUAGAAGCAACAACAUUGGAUUUAGCAUGAUUAUUGUUACUACUAGAGGAAGAAUCCUUCUUGUUCUUGUUAUUAGAUUUGACUUGAGGCAUGUAAGUAGAUAAGAGUAAACGCUUGGCAAUGUAAGAAGAACUUUUCUUGCGAAGAUCAUCAUUGAUUGCCUUUAAGAACUCAUGCUCUUGCUCAAGGUUGAGCUUUUCAAAGCGUAACUUCUCAUGAGUCCUUAAAAGUUCUCAAUGAUCUCCUAAGAUUGUUUCAUGAGCUAACUUAAGAGUGUAUAGUUCUUUAGUUAGGAGCUCAAUCUUCUCCUUAUCAUUGUCAUUCGUUUUAUCUUGAGUAGCAUGAUUAAUGAAGUGGCAUCAUAGUAUUCAUCACUAGAGUUGUCAAUAAGUAAAUCAUCAUCACCUAACAAGUCAUCUUCAUCAUUAUUGAAAUCAACAUACUCGGGGUGUGUUACCUUUGGGCCUUUAGCCAUGAAGCAUCUUCCAAGUCCUUCGUUUGGUGAAUCAAAUAUGUCGUAAGAGUUGGUUGACACAAGUUCUAGACCGGCAACACCUUCAUCUUGAGUAUGUUCGGAGUCGGAGUGAUAGCUUCUCUCGGAGUGAUUGUCGGAGUCGGAGCCGGAUACUCAUUCACUAACAUGAGCUUGAUGUCUUCGUUGUGUGUAUCUCCUUGAUUUGUCCUUCCUUUCUGAAUCCUUGCUUCUCCGGGAUGUUCUUUUUUCAUAACAAUCAUCUCUACUCCUUCUCUCUCUUGGUGGUGAUUCUUCUCUUCUACUUCUUCUCUUAGGUGAUUCUUCUCUUCUCUUGUAGGGAGCCGUACACUCAUUGGAAUAGUGUCCGGGUCUUCCACAAUUAUAGCAAUUACGCUCUCGACUAGAAGAUCUUUUGUCAUUAUAGGACCUUGACUUGGAGCUUCUCUCUUUGCUUCUACUCUUGUAGAACUUGUUGAAGUUAUUCACCAUUAGGCUCAAUUCUUCAUUGAAGGUUUGUUUCUCACUUGAUGAUGUGGGAGCUUCGCAUGAAGCUUUGUAAGCACCACUUGACUUGUUGUGGAGCUCCUCCUUAUCCUUGAGUGACAUCUCAUGAGCAACAAUUCUUCCAAUGACUUCCGUUGGCUUGAGAUUCUUGUAAUUGGGCAUUAUUUGGAUCAAUGUGCACACGGUAUCAUAUUUUCCGUCCAAAGCUCUUAGGAUCUUCUUGAUAAUUAAUUUGUCAGUCAUCUCUUCACUUCCUAAGCCGGCAAUCUCAUUUGUGAUAAGAGCAAGCCUAGAGUACAUUUCAGCGACGCCUUCACCAUCCUUCAUCUUGAACUUGUCAAGUUGACUUCGAAGCACAUCAACCAAAGUAUCCCAAAUUUCCUUUGCAUUCUCAAGACGGCUGAUUUUAUUGAAUUCUUCGGGGCACAAUCCGUUGAAGAGGAUAUCACAAGCUUGAGCGUUGUAUUGCAGCAUCUUCAACUCAUCCGCGCUAGCUUCAUGGUUCGGUUCUCUCCCAUCAAAGAAUUCACCUUGCAAGCCAAUACACAAAAUAGCCCAAAUGGCGGGGUUAUGUCCAAGAAUAUGCAUUUUCAUCUUACGCUUCCAACUAGCAAAAUUAGUACCAUCAAAGUAAGGACCUCUACGGUGAAAGUUUCCCUCGCUAGACGCCAUACUCUCCUAGGUUCUGAGACCAAGGCUAUGACUAUCAAAAGCUAUGGAAAUCAAAGCAAAUGGAGACCAAAGCUCUGAUACCAUUUGUAGGAUCGAAAGUAUGUCUAGAGGGGGGGUGAUUAGACUACUUGACCAAAUAAAACUUAUCCUUUUCCCAGUUUUAGUCUUUGGCAGAUUUUAGCUAACUUAGCACAAGUCAAGAAAUCUCAACACAAUUCAAGCAAGCAUUCCAAGAGUAUAUGAGCAGCGGAAAGUAAAGCAUGCAACUUGCAAGAAUGUAGAGGGAAGGGUAUGGAGAAUUCAAACGCAAUUGGAGACACGGAUGUUUUUGUCAUGGUUCCGAUAGGUGGUGCUAUCGUACAUCCACGUUGAUGGAGACUUCAACCCACGAAGGGUAACGUCUGCGCGAGUCCACGGAGGGCUCCACCCAAGAAGGGUCCACGAAGAAGCAACCUUGUCUAUCCCACCAUGUCCGUCACCCAUGAAUGACUUGCCUCACUAGCGGUAGAUCUUCACGAAGUAGGCGAUCUCCUUGCCCUUACAAACUCCUUGGUUCAACUCCACAAUCUUGUCGGAGGCUCCCAAGUGACACCUAGCCAAUCUACGAGACACCACUCUCCAAGAAGUAACAAAUGGUGUGUUGAUGAUGAACACCUUGCUCUUGUGCUUCAAAUGAUAGUCUCCCCAACACUUAACUCUCUCACACAUGAUUUGGAUUUGGUGGAAAGAAGAUUUGAGUGGAAAGCAACUUGGGGAAGGCUAGAUAUCAAGAUUCAUAUGGUAGGAAUGCAAUAUCUUGGCCUCAACACAAGGGUAGGUGGUUCUCUCUCAGAAAAUGCAAGUUGGAAGUGUAGGUUCGUUCUGAUGGCUCUCUCCAUGAAUGAAGAGUGGCUGGAGGGGUAUAUAUAGCCUCCACACAAAAUCUAACCAUUACACACAAUUUGCCAAUCUCGAUGGGAAAGAAUUGAGAAACUCGGUCAGACCAAUUCAGCAAAUCUAGUGACCGUUAGGAUUUUCGAUGGGACCGACAUGCAACUCGGUAGGACCGAUAUGGUUAGGGUUAGGGCAUAAUGUAAUCUCGGUGAGACCGAUUACACAAACUCGGUGGGACCGAUUUUGGUAAUAAGCUAACCAGAGAGUUGGUCAGGUAAACUCGGUGGGACCGGUUCGCUCAUUUCGAUGAGACCGAAAUGUUACGAAAAGGAAACAGUGAGUUUACAUUGCAAUCUUGGUGGGACCGAUCGCUCAUCUCUGUGGUACCGAAACGUUACGAAGGGAAACAGAGAGAUUACAAUCCCAUCUCGGUGAGAUCGAGAUCCCUAUCGGUGAGACCGAUUUUCCUAGGGUUUGUGGCAGUGGCUAUGACAUCUGAACUCGGUGGCGCCGGAUAGAAAGAAUCGGUGGGGCUGAGUUUGACUUUUGGUUUAGGUCAUAUGUGGAUGUGAGAAAGUAGUUGAGGGCUUUGGAGCAUACCACUAAGCAUUUUGAGCAAGUAAGCCAUUAAGCAACACCUCAUCCCUCCUUGAUAGUAUUGGCUUUUCCUAUAGACUCAAUGUGAUCUUGGAUCACUAAAAUAUAAAAUGUAGAGUCUUGAGCUUUGAGCUUGAGGCAAUCCUUUUGUCCUUAGCAUUUUGAUGGAUCCACUUUUCUCAUCCAUGCCAUGCCAAUCAUUGAGCUUUCCUGAAAUAUUCAUCUUGAAAUAGCAUUAGCUCAAUGAGCUAUAUGUUAUUAGGAAUUACCAAAACCACCUAGGGAUAGUUGCACUUUCAUAAGCUUUCUUUGGCUAUGCUAUUUUGAUAGGACAUAAUUAUUUGUUAGUAUGCUUCGAAGCAUUAUUAUUUUUUAUGUUUUAUAAGCUUUUAUCUUGAAUCAUUUGGAUCUGAACAAUCAUGUUACAAUAAAGAAAACUACAUUGAGAAUUGUGCUAGGUAGCAUUCCACAUCAAAAAUUCUGUUUUUUAUCAUUUACCUACUCAAGGACGAGCAGGAAUUAAGCUUGGGGAUGCUUGAUACGUCUCCAACGUAUCUAUAAUUUCUGAUUGUUCCACCCUAUUAUAUUACCCGUUUUGGAUGUUUAUAGGCUUUAUUUUACACAUUUAUAUCAUUUUUGGGACUAACCUACUAACCGGAGGCCUAGCCUAUAUUGCUGUUUUUGCCUAUUUCAGUGUUUUGAAGAAAAGGAAUAUCAAACGGAGUCCAAACGGAAUGAAACCUUCGGGAGCGUGAUUUUUGGAACGAACGUGAUCCACAGGACUUGGAGUGCAAGUCAAGAAGCAGUCGAGGCAGCCACGAGGGUGGAGGGCGCGCCCACCCCUACAGGGCAUGCCCCCUAUCUCGUGGGCCCCUCGGGCGUCCACCGACCUACUUCUUCCUCUUAUAUAUACCCACGUACCCCGAAAACAUCAGAGGCGACCACAACAACUAUUUCUACCACCGUAACCUUCUAUAUCCGCGAGAUCCCAUCUUGGAGCCUUCGCCGACGCUCCAUCGGAGGGGGAAUCGACCAUGGAGGGAUUCUACAUCAAUACCAUAGCCCCUCCGAUGAGUUGUGAGUACUUUACCACAGACCUUCGGGUCCAUAGUUAUUAGCUAGAUGGCUUCUUCUCUCUUUUUGGAUAUCAAUACCAUGUUCUCCUCGGUCUUCUUGGAGAUCUAUUCGAUGUAACUCUUUUUGCGGUGUGUUUGUCGAGAUCCGAUGAAUUAUGGGUUUAUGAUCAAGUUUACCUAUGAGAAAUAUUUGAAUCUCUCUGAAUUCUUUUAUGUGUGAUUAAGUUAUCUUUGCAAGUCUCUUCGAAUUAUCAGUUUGGUUUGGCCUACUAGAUUGAUCUUUUUUGCAAUAGGAGAAGUGCUUAGCUUUGGGUUCAAUCUUGCGGUGUCCUUUCCAAGUGACAGCAGGGGCAGCAAGGCACGUAUUGUAUUGUUGCCAUCGAGGAUAAAAAGAUGGGGUUUGUAUCAUAUUGCAUGAGUUUAUCCUUCUACAUCAUGUCAUCUUUCUUAAUGCGUUACUCUGUUUUUUAUGAACUUAAUACUCUAGAUGCAUGCUGGAUAGCGGUCGAUGUGUGGAGUAAUAGUAGUAGAUGCAGGCAGGAGUCGGUCUACUUGUCACGGACGUGAUGCCUAUAUACAUGAUGAUGCCUGGAUAAUCUCAUAAUUAUUAGCUUUUCUAUCAAUUGCUCGACAGUAAUUUGUUCAUCCACCGUAAUACUUAUGCUAUCUUGAGAGAAGCCACUAGUGAAACCUAUGGCCCCCGGGUCUAUCUUUUAUCAUAUAAGCUUUCAAUCUACUUUUAUUUGCAUCUUUACUUUUCCAAUCUAUAUUGUAAAAUACCAAAAAUAUAUUUAUCUUAUCAUUUUAUCUAUUAGAUCUUACUUUCGCAAGUGGUCGUCAAGGGAUUGACAACCCCUUUAUUGCGUUGGUUGCGAGUUCUUUGUUUGUUUGUGUAGGUGCAUGGGACUUUUGAGGAGCCUCCUACUGGAAUGAUACCUCGGUUCUCAAAAACUGAGGGAAAUACUUACGCUACUAUUGCUGCAUCACCCUUUGUUGGAAAUAUGCCCUAGAGGUAAUAAUAAAAGGAUUAUUAUUAUAUUUCCUUGUUCAUGAUAAUUGUCUUUUAUUCAUGCUAUAAUUGUAUUAUCCGGAAAUCGUAAUACACGUGUUAAUACAUAGACCACAAUACGUCCCUAGUUGACUAGCUCGUUGAUCAACAGAUAGUCAUGGUUUCCUAACUAUGGACAUUGGAUGUCGUUGAUAACGGGACCACAUCAUUAGGAGAAUGAUGUGAUGGACAAGACCCAAUCCUAAGCAUAGCACAAGAUUGUGUAGUUCGUUUUGCUAGAGCUUUUUCAGUGUCAAGUAUCUUUUCCUUAGACCAUGAGAUCGUGUAACUCCCAGAUACCGUAGGAGUGCUUUGGGUGUACCAAACGUCACAACAUAACUGGGUGACUAUAAAGGUGCACUACAGGUAUCUCCCAAAGUGUCUAUUGGGUUGACACGGAUCGAGACUGGGAUGUGUCACUCCGUAUGACGGAGAGGAAUCUCUGGGCCCACUCGGUAAUGCAUCAUCAUAAUGAGCUCAAAGUGAUCAAGUGUUUGGUCAUGGGAUCAUGCAUUACGAUACGAGUAAAGUGACUUGCCGGUAACGAGACUGAACGAGGUAUUGGGAUACCAACGAUCGAGUCUCGGGCAAGUAACGUAUCGAUUGACAAAGGGAAUUAUAUACGGGGUUGAUUGAAUCCUCGACAUCGUGGUUCAUCCGCUGAGAUCAUCAAGGAGUAUGUGGGAGCCAACAUGGGUAUCCAGAUCCCGCUGUUGGUUAUUGACCAGAGAGCCGUCUCGGUCAUGUCUGCGUGUCUCCCGAACCCGUAGGGUCUACACACUUAAGGUUCGGUGACGCUAGGGUUAUUAGGAAGACUUGUAUGUGAUUACCGAAUGUUGUUCGGAGUCCCGUAUGAGAUCCCGGACGUCACGAGGAGUUCCGGAAUGGUCCAGAGGUGAAGAUUUAUAUAUGGGAAGUUGUCAUACGGUCACCGGAAUGUUUCGGGGGCAUAUCGGUAUUGUACCGGGGCCACCGGAGGGGUUCCGGGGGUCCACCGGGAGGGGCCACCUCUCUCGGAGAGCCUCAUGGGCCGUAGGGGGCAGGGAACCAGCCCCUGGAGGGCUGGGUGCCCCCCCUUGGGCCCAUGCGCCUAGGGUUGGGGGGNNNNNNNNNNNNNNNNNNNNNNNNNNNNNNNNNNNNNNNNNNNNNNNNNNNNNNNNNNNNNNNNNNNNNNNNNNNNNNNNNNNNNNNNNNNNNNNNNNNNNNNNNNNNNNNNNNNNNNNNNNNNNNNNNNNNNNNNNNNNNNNNNNNNNNNNNNNNNNNNNNNNNNNNNNNNNNNNNNNNNNNNNNNNNNNNNNNNNNNNNNNNNNNNNNNNNNNNNNNNNNNNNNNNNNNNNNNNNNNNNNNNNNNNNNNNNNNNNNNNNNNNNNNNNNNNNNNNNNNNNNNNNNNNNNNNNNNNNNNNNNNNNNNNNNAGAGGGGCGAGGGGAGGGCUGCACACAACAUCCAAGGCGCAGCCCCUCCCCUCCCCAACACAUCUCCUCCUCCGCGUGAGCUUGGCGAAGCCCUGCCAGAGAUCUGCCACUCCAUCACCACCAUGCCAUCGUGCUGCUGUUGGAGUCUUCUUCCUCAACCUCUCCCUCCUCCUUUCUGGAUCAAGGUGCGGGAUACGUCAUCCGCUCCGUACGUGUGCUGAACGCGGAGGUGUUGUCCGUUCGGCACUUGGUCAUCGGUGAUUUGGAUCACGGCGAGUACAACUCCAUCAUCCCCGUUCUCUUGAACGCUUCCGCUAGCGAUCUACAAAGGUAUGUAAAUGCACUCCUAUCACUCGUUGCUUAGAUGAACUCAUAGAUGGAUCUUGGUGAAACCGUAGGAAAAAUUUUAUUUUCUGCAACGUUCCCCAAUAGUGGCAUCAUGAGCUAGGUCUAUGCGUAGUUCUCUAUUGCACGAGUAGAACACAAAUCUGUUGUGGGCGUAGAUCUUGUCAACUUGCUUGCCACUACUAGUCUUUUCUUGCUUCAGCGGUAUUGUGGGAUGAAGCGGCCGGACCGACCUUACACGUACGCUUACGUGAGACAGGUUCCACCGACUAACAUGCACUGGUUGCAUAAGGUGGCUAGCGGGUGUCUGUCUCUCCUACUUUAGUGGGAGCGGAUUCGAUGAAAAGGGUCCUUAUGAAGGGUAAAUAGAAGUUGACAAAAUCAUGUUGUGGUUAUUCGUAGGUAAGAAAGCGUUCUUGCUAGAACCCAAUUGCAGCCACGUAAAAGAUGCAACAACAAUUAGAGGACGUCUAACUUGUUUUUGCAGCAAUUGUCAUGUGAUGUGAUAUGGCCAGAAGUUGUGAUGAAUGAGGAAUGAUAUAUUGUGAUGUAUGAGAUCAUGUUCUUGUAAUAGGAAUCACGACUUGCAUGUCGAUGAGUAUGACAACCGGCAGGAGCCAUAGGAGUUGUCUUUAUUUUUGUAUGAUCUGCGUGUCAUUGAAGAACGCCAUGUAAAUUACUUUACUUUAUUGCUAAACGCGUUAGCCAUAGAAGUAGAAGUAGUCGUUGGCGUGAAAACUUCAUGAAGACACGAUGAUGAAGAUCAUGAUGAUGGAGAUCAUGGUGUCAUGCCGGUGAGAAGAUGAUCAUGGAGCCCCGAAGAUGGAGAUCAAAGGAGAUAUAUGAUAUUGGCCAUAUCAUGUCACUGUUAUAUAAUUGCAUGUGAUGUUUAUUAUGUUUAUGCAUCUUGUUUACUUAGAACGACGGUAGUAAAUAAGAUGAUCCCUUAUAACAAUUUCAAGAAAGUGUUCUCCCCUAACUAUGCGCCUGCUAAAGUUCGUCGUUUCGAAGCACCACGUGAUGAUCGGGUGUGAUAUAUUCUUAUGUUCACAUACAACGGGUGUAAGACAGUUUUACAUAUGCAAAAACACUUAGGGUUAACUUGACGAACUUAGCAUGUACAGACAUGGCCUCGGAACACGGAGACCGAAAGGUCGAACAUGAGUCGUAUGGAAGAUACGAUCAACAUGGAGAUGUUCACCGAUGAUGACUAGUCCGUCUCACGUGAUGAUCGGACACGGCCUAGUCGACUCGGAUCAUGUAACACUUAGAUGACUAGAGGGAUGUCAAUCUGAGUGGGAGUUCAUUAAAUAAUUUGAUUAGAUGAACUUAAAUAUCAUAAACUUAGUCUAAAAUCUUUGCAAAAUAUGUCUUGUAGAUCAAAUGGCCAACGCUCAUGUCAACAUGAACUUCAACGCGUUCCUAGAGAAAACCAAGCUGAAAGAUUAUGGCAGCAACUAUUCGGACUGGGUCCAGAACCUGAGGAUCAUCCUCAUAGCAGCCAAGAAAGCAUAUGUCCUAGAAGGACCGCUAGGUGAAGCACCCAUCCCAGAGAACCAAGAUGUUAUGAAAGGUUGGCAGUCACGUGCUGAUGAUUACUCCCUCGUUCAGUGCGGCAUGCUUUACAGCUUAGAACCGGGGCUCCAAAAGCGUUUUGAGCAACACGGAGCAUGUGAGAUGUUCGAGGAGCUGAAAAUGGUUUUUCAAGCUCAUGCCCGGGUCGAGAGAUAUGAAGUCUCCGACAAGUUCUAUAGUUGUAAGAUGGAGGAAAACAGUUCUGUCAGUGAGCACAUACUCAAAAUGUCUGGGUUGCACAACCGCCUGUCCCAGCUGGAGAUCAACCUCCCGGACGAGGCGGUCAUUGACAAAAUCCUUCAGUCGCUCCCACCGAGCUACAAGAGCUUUGUGAUGAACUACAAUAUGCAGGGGAUGGUGAAGACCAUUCCUGAAGUAUUUUCAAUGCUGAAGUCAGCAGAGGUAGAAAUCAAGAAAGAACAUCAAGUGUUGAUGGUCAAUAAAACCACCAAGUUCAAGAAGGGAAAGAGCAAGAAGAACUUCAAGAAGGACGGCAAGGAUGUUGCCGCGCCCGGUAAGCCAGUUGCCGGGAAGAAGUCAAAGAAUGGACCCAAGCCUGAGACUGAGUGCUUUUAUUGCAAAGGGAAGGGUCACUCGAAGCGGAACUGCCCCAAAUACUUAGCGGACAAGAAGGCCGGCAACACUAAAGGUAUAUUUGAUAUACAUGUAAUUGAUGUGUACCUUACCAGUACUCGUAGUAACUCCUGGGUAUUUGAUACCAGUGUCGUUGCUCAUAUUUGUAACUCACAGCAGGAGCUGCGGAAUAAGCGGAGACUGGCGAAGGACGAGGUGACGAUGCACGUCCGGAAUGGUUCCAAGGUCGAUGUGAUCGCCGUCGGCACUCUACCUCUACAUUUACCCAAGGGAUUAGUUAUGAACCUCAAUAAUUGUUAUUUAGUGCCAAGUUUGAGCAUGAACAUUGUAUCUGGAUCUCGUUUAAUAUGAGAUGGCUACUCAUUUAAAUCCGAGAAUAAUGGUUGUUCUAUUUAUAUGAGAGAUAUGUUUUAUGGUCAUGCCCCGAUGGUCAAUGGUUUAUUCUUAAUGAAUCUCGAACGUAAUGUUACACAUAUUCAUAGUGUGAAUACCAAAAGAUGUAAAGUUGAUAACGAUAGUCCCACAAACUUGUGGCACUGCCGCCUUGGUCACAUUGGUGUCAAGCGCAUGAAGAAGCUCCAUGCUGAUGGACUUUUAGAGUCUCUCGAUUAUGAAUCAUUUGACACAUGUGAACCAUGCCUCAUGGGCAAAAUGACCAAGACUCCAUUCUCCGGAACAAUGGAGCGAGCAACCAACUUAUUGGAAAUCAUACAUACUGAUGUGUGUGGUCCAAUGAGCGUUGAGGCUCGCGGAGGAUAUCGUUAUGUUCUCACUCUCACUGAUGACUUGAGUAGAUAUGGGUAUGUCUACUUGAUGAAACACAAGUCUGAGACCUUUGAAAAGUUCAAGGAAUUUCAGAAUGAGGUACAGAAUCAACGUGACCGAAGGAUAAAGUUCCUACGAUCAGAUCGUGGAGGAGAAUACUUAAGCCACGAAUUUGGUACACACUUAAGGAAAUGUGGAAUCGUUUCACAACUCACGCCGCCUAGAACACCUCAGCGUAAUGGUGUGUCCGAACGUCGUAAUCGCACUCUGUUGGAUAUGGUGCGAUCUAUGAUGUCUCUUACCGAUUUACCGCUAUCAUUUUGGGGAUACGCUCUAGAGACAGCUACAUUCACUUUAAAUAGGGCUCCGUCUAAAUCCGUUGAGACGACACCGUAUGAAUUAUGGAUUGGGAAGAAACCUAAGCUGUCGUUUCUAAAAGUUUGGGGAUGCGAUGCUUAUGUCAAGAAACUUCAACCUGAAAACUCGAACCCAAGUCGGAAAAAUGCGUCUUCAUAGGAUACCCUAAGGAAACCAUUGGGUAUACCUUCUACUUAAGAUCCGAGGGCAAGAUCUUUGUUGCCAAGAACGGAUCCUUUCUGGAAAAAGAGUUUCUCUCGAAAGAAGUAAGUGGGAGGAAAGUAGAACUCGAUGAAGUACUACCUCUUGAACCGGAAAGUAGUGCAGCUCAAGAAAAUGUUCCUGUGGUGCCUACACCAACUGGAGAGGAAAUUAAUGAUGAUGAUCAAGGUACUUCGGAUCAAGUUGCUACUGAACCUCGUAGGUCCACAAGGACACGUUCCACACCAGAGUGGUAUGGCAAUCCUGUCCUGGAAAUCAUGUUGUUAGACGACGGUGAACCUUCGAACUAUGAAGAAGCGAUGGCGGGCCCAGAUUCCAACAAAUGGCUUGAAGCCAUGCAAUCUGAGAUAGAAAACAUGUAUGAAAACAAAGUAUGGACUUUGACAGACUUGCCCGAUGAUCGGCGAGCGAUAGAAAACAAAUGGAUCUUUAAGAAGAAGACGGACGCGGAUGGUAAUAUUACCAUCUAUAAAGCUCGACUUGUCGCUAAGGGUUAUCGACAAGUUCAAGGGGUUGACUACGAUGAGACAUUCUCUCCCGUAGCAAAGCUGAAGUCUGUCCGAAUCAUGUUAGCAAUUGUCGCAUACUAUGAUUAUGAGAUAUGGCAGAUGGACGUCAAAACGGCAUUCCUUAACGGACAUCUUAAGGAAGAACUGUAUAUGAUGCAGAUGGAGGGUUUUGUCGAUCCUAAGAACGCUAACAAAGUAUGCAAGAUCCAGCGAUCCAUUUAUGGGCUGGUGCAAGCAUCUUGGAGUUGGAACAUUCGCUUUGAUGAGAUGAUCAAAGCGUUUGGGUUUAUGCAGACUUGUGGAGAAGCCUGCAUUUACAAGAAAGUGAGUGGGAGCUCUAUAGCAUUUCUCAUAUUAUAUGUAGAUGACAUACUCUUGAUGGGAAAUGAUAUAGAACUUUUGGACAGCAUUAAGGCCUACUUGAAUAAGUGUUUUUCAAUGAAGGACCUUGGAGAAGCUGCUUACAUAUUAGGCAUCAAGAUCUAUAGGGAUAGAUCGAGACGCCUCAUAGGUCUUUCACAAAGCACAUACCUUGAUAAGAUUUUGAAGAAGUUCAAAAUGAAUCAGUCCAAGAAAGGGUUCUUGCAUGUAUUGCAAGGUGUGAGAUUGAGCUCGGCUCAAUGCCCGGCCACGGCAAAAGAUAAAGAAGAGAUGAGCGUCAUCCCCUAUGCUUCAACCAUAGGAUCUAUUAUGUAUGCCAUGCUGUGUACCAGACGUGAUGUAAACCUUGCCAUAAGUUUGGUAGGAAGGUACCAAAGUAAUCCCGGCAAGGAACACUGGACAGCGGUCAAGAAUAUCCUGAAGUACCUGAAAAGGACAAAGGACAUGUUUCUCGUUUAUGGAGGUGACGAAGAGCUCGCCGUAAAGGGUUACAUCGAUGCUAGCUUCGACACAUAUCUGGAUGACUCUAAGUCACAAACCGGAUAUGUGUAUAUGUUGAAUGGUGGAGCAGUAAGCUGGUGCAGCUGCAAGCAGAGCGUCGUGGCGGGAUCUACAUGUGAAGAGGAGUACAUGGCAGCCUCGGAGGCAGCGCAUGAAGCAAUUUGGGUGAAGGAGUUCAUCACCGACCUAGGAGUCAUACCCAAUGCGUCGGGGCCGAUCAAACUCUUCUGUGAAAACACUGGAGCUAUUGCCCUUGCCAAGGAGCCCAGGUUUCACAAGAAGACCAGGCAAAUCAAGCAUCGUUUCAACUCCAUCCAUGAAAAUAUUCAAGAUGGAGACAUAGAUAUUUGCAAAGUACAUACAGAUCUGAAUGUCGCAGAUCCAUUGACUAAACCUUUUUCGCGAGCAAAACAUGAUCAACACCAGAACUCUAUGGGUGUUUGAUUCAUCACAAUGUAACUAGAUUAUUGACUCUAGUGCAAGUGGGAGACUGUUGGAAAUAUGCCCUAGAGGCAAUAAUAAAAGGAUUAUUAUUAUAUUUCCUUGUUCAUGAUAAUGGUCUUUUAUUCAUGCUAUAAUUGUAUUAUCAGGAAAUCGUAAUACACGUGUGAAUACAUAGACCAUAAUAUGUCCCUAUUUGACUAGCUCAUUGAUCAAUAGAUAGUCAUGGUUUCCUGACUAUGGACAUUGGAUGUCGUUGAUAACGGGAUCACAUCAUUAGGAGAAUGAUGUGAUGGACAAGACCCAAUCCUAAGCAUAGCACAAGAUCGUGUAGUUCGUUUUGCUAGAGCUUUUCCAAUGUCAAGUAUAUUUUUCUUAGACCAUGAGAUCGUGUAACUCCCGGAUACCGUAGGAGUGCUUUGGGUGUACCAAACGUCACAACGUAACUGGGUGACUAUAAAGGUGCACUACAGGUAUCUCCGAAAGUGUCUGUUGGGUUGACACGGAUCGAGACUGGGAUUUUUCACUCCAUAUGACGGAGAGGUAUCUCUGGGCGCACUCGGUAAUGCAUCAUCAUAAUGAGCUCAAAGUGACCAAGUGUUUGGUCACGGGAUCAUGCAUUACGAUACGAGUAAAGUGACUUUCCGGUAACGAGACUGAACGAGGUAUUGGGAUACCAACCAUCGAGUCUCGGGCAAGUAACAUACCGAUUGACAAAGGGAAUUGUAUACGGGGUUGAUUGAAUCCUCGACAUCGUGGUUCAUCCGAUGAGAUCAUCGAGGAGCAUGUGGGAGCCAACAUGGGUAUCCAGAUCCCGCUGUUGGUUAUUGACCGGAGAGCCGUCUCGGUCAUGUCUGCGUGUCUCCCGAACCCGUAGGGUCUACACACUUAAGGUUCGGUGACACUAGGGUUAUUAGGAAGACUUGUAUGUGAUUACCGAAUGUUGUUCGGAGUCCCGGAUGAGAUCCCGGACGUCACGAGGAGUUCCGGAAUGGUCCGGAGGUGAAGAUUUAUAUAUGGGAAGUUGUCAUACGGUCACCAGAAAGUUUUGGGGGCAUAUCGGUAUUGUACCGGGGCCACCGGAGGGGUUCCGGGGGUCCACCGGGAGGGGCCACCUCUCUCGGAGGGCCUCAUGGGCCGUAGGGGGCAGGGAACCAGCCCCUGGAGGGCUGGACGCCCCCGCCCCCCUUAGGCCCAUGCGCCUAGGGUUGGGGGGGAAACCCUAGUGGGGGCGCCCCCUUGCUUGGGGGGCAAGCCCCCUCCCUUGCCCCCCCCCCUCUAGAUCUCAUCUAGAGGGGGCCGGCCCCCUUCCCCUUCCCCUAUAAAUAGAGGGGCGAGGGGAGGGCUGCACACAACAUCCAAGGCGCAGCCCCUCCCCUCCCCAACACAUCUCCUCCUCCGCGUGAGCUUGGCGAAGCCCUGCCGGAGAUCUGCCACUCCAUCACCACCACGCCGUCGUGCUGCUGUUGGAGUCUUCUUCCUCAACCUCUCCCUCCUACUUGCUGGAUCAAGGUGCGGGAGACGUCAUCCGCUCCGUACGUGUGUUGAACGCGGAGGUGCUGUCCGUUCGGCACUUGGUCAUCGGUGAUUUGGAUCACGGCGAGUAUGACUCCAUCAUCCCCGUUCUCUUGAACGCUUCCGCUCGCGAUCUACAAAGGUAUGUAGAUGCACUUCUAUCACUCGUUACUUAGAUGAACUCAUAGAUGGAUCUUGGUGAAACCGUAGGAAAAUUUUUAUUUUCUGCAACGUUCCCCAACACCAUUUCCUCUUCAAGGAAAACCAACGCAAGCUCAAGACGUAGCAAACGCCUGCAUGGUAAUAAUAAACAAAUUGAUUACAAAAAUGCAUGCAUGCAUCAAAGUCAUACAAAAAUUUGGCAUUACCUUCCCUAAAAAUAGGACAUAUAGACUUUGCCCGGAAUUCACCGAAACGAAAAUAAAUCGACAUGUCGGCAAAACAUAGGCAACUCACAAGCACAAUUUGGCAGCAACUCAUGCCACACACACAAUUUCCAUCAUAUCGCCCGAUUAUGUCAUAUCGCACACAUACACAUAUUUCCAUUCUUGCAAAAGCAUAACUUUUAAAUCACCUAUCUCGAGAUCGAGCACGGUGAUGAUGUUGUCGUGUCGCCACACACACCUGUGGAGUGAUCAAAAGUGAAAAAAGAUCUUCUUGACAAGGCUAUAGAUCAAUUUAGGGAGGUACAUAUGUCACUUCACUAAAUGCUAGCUAGAUCUACCUAGCUAGCUAGUCUGGGGGAGACAAGUUCAACUAGUGGAGGGGGCAGAAAAAAUACAAAGGAGAUGCAUUAAUGGAGGUGGUGUAGUUAGCUAGGAGUAAUAAAGAGAGAGAAAGAUAGGUAGAAGAAGGAGAGUAAUGGGGGGAGAAAUAGUGAGGAAGAAGCAAAGUGAGGGAGAGAGGAGGUGGGAGGGGAAAGUGAAGGAAGAGAGGAUGGGGGAGGGAGAUGGAGAGGAAAAAGGUGGUAUGGCUGCGGUUUAGCAGUAGCGCUGGUCGCAAAAUGCGCUGCUGCUAACACCGUAGCAGUAGCGCGCUCCAGGCGGACGCGCUACUGCUAAGCAGGGCCCGCCAUGUAGCCAGGUUCAAAAAUAGCAGUAGCGACGUGCAGAAAAAGCGUGCUAUCUAGUUAGCAGUAGAGCGGUUACCGUGGGCGCACUACUGCUAAACCUAGCGUGGCGGGAACGAUCGACCAAUUUUAGUAGUAGCGUGGUUCUACCGAGACGCGCUACUGCUAAGCUGGUAGCAGUAGCACCUGUUAACUGCACACGCUACUGAUAAUUAGCAGUAGCGCCCCUUUUUGACCAGCGUUACUGCUAAGUUUCUUUGUAUAAAGUUUUCCCUAGUAGUACGAGGUUGAUUUAAUCGAUGUGAUAAGUCUUUAUAAAUAUUGUCUAAGUGUUUAUAAAGGCCCGUCACAUCUUUUAAAAUUUAUUUUAUUUAUUUUCCGUGUAGGACAAUUAUGAAAAUGUCCCACAAUGUCUACUCCAUUUUGAUUUUUUACAAUUGCGAAAGUUAAAAAGAAUAAAAGGUUUUUCAUACAUGAUCUAUUAUUUUACGUGUAUUUUCCUUAUCACUUGAUUACAGAAUUUAUGUUGCAAUUUUAUCCUAAUAUUUUUGUGCUACAGCUAACAAGUGGGCCCAAAAACAGAGGGACACGCGUGUAUAGUCUCACCCGCUUCGCCGUUUAUGUUCAUCUCCUUUACUUAAAACCGCCACUCACCCGCGUAUAGUCAAAAAUCUAGUCUCUCGCCCCCUGUCGCCGGCGAGUAUCGCGGCCAUGCUUGGCAGCAGCUUCAUGUGCGCCGAAGAGUAUUGCUGCCACAUUUCCCCCUUGAUGAAACAUGCCGACUAGGGUAGCCGCCUGUCGCCGAUGCUUGCAGUGGUUCAAGACUUCCCCUACCAAAAAUAAAAACCCUACGUCGUCGGGUUCAAUCAGACGAAAUGAAGGUAAGUCUCUAUAUACAUCUCCUUAUCCGAUGCAUCUCACCUUAGUCCACUAUAAAACCCUUCCACAUGCUAUUUUUGAAAUAAUCGACGGUUUUGAUAUGCAGUGCGAGAAGUGUUUGGACACCAGGAAUCUCUGCGGUCUCCCCUAUGUUCAGAACGACAGGUACCUCCGCACAACGCUUUCGAAAUGAUUCAAAGAAAUUACAGUAUGGUUCUUAGAUUUGAAAUGUAUCAAACAUACAUGUCGUUCAAGUGUUUGGUUAAGUUGUGAAGAUUCUCUACAUGUGGAUUUUAACACAAAUGCUGAUGGAUUCCAUGAUUGGUUUAUAAGUAGAAAAGUCUGCUCAUGAGUUGAACAGAAUCCAUGCUUUUAAUGGAAAGUAUCUACAAAUAUAUAGACCUAACUAAAUUUGGUAAAGUGCCAAACCGUACCCCCUUGGUACCACUUGCUGCUACAUUCUCCUCUUUAGAUGUCAGAAAAUAACCUAUGUUGUAAUCUGAAAAAUUCUUUUAUGAUUAUUGUGAUAUAGAAAAUUCCAGAUUUGUAUUGCAGUAAUCAUUUUGAAACUAACAAAUUCAGAACCUAAUUUGUGAUAUCCAAUAUUCCUAAAUUUUAGUAAGCACUAUCGGAAAUUGUAUUUACCCCUCUCAUAAACAGUACCUGCUUCAUAAACAACCUAAAUAAUUUUGAGCAAUCACUGAAUUUUGCUCAGUGCAUCCCCUGCUUUGCAAGAGAUGAACUUCCGAAGAAGCUGAGUAUAAACAGAUCUGUCAGGACCAAUGUACAUAUCCAACUGGAGACAAGAGAGGGCCUUUGUUUUCUAUGCAGGAACAGGAAUGAAGAAGAUAGGACCUUUUUCACAGGACGUAUUUGGAAAGAAUUUGCCAAAGUGUACCAGUUGGAAAUAGAUAUGGAAAUGUCCCUCGAAGUAGGUGGAAAACCUAAACAUCACCUCUAGGUACGUUUGAGCACUGACCCAACAACUCAUCUGUGUAAGUAUUCUGGCAAAUAUCAAGCAAUUUUAACUAACAACAUUUCAUCGGGUUGCUAUAUUUAACAAAUCUUAUUUACUAAUAUUUUCAUAGCUUAUUGCAGAGUGGAUAUUGUAAAGAAAACAAUUAAUAGAAAACAUGGAGGUUAUUGAACGGAGCAGAGUAACCUGGGAAGAUAUGUUGCUUCUCAUUGGCUUUGUUGAUGAAAUUUGGAUGCACGCGGACGGUUACAAUGCUGGACCAAGAGAGCAUUCCUACGUGCCCGUGCACUUUGAAGAAGACCUACAUUGACGACAGAAUCAUGGUUAGAAUUGUAUCUACUCUCAGCAUAUUCAGAUAGUCCAGAUACUUAUGUAGAUUGCUUAAAGUGUUAAAAUUGUGUUAUGCCACCAGAUACUUCCAUGUGGAGAACUGACCAUUUUUCUCCAUCCUAGAGUGAUCAUUAGUUCCAAUUCAUACUCGGCUUCAGGAAAAGGAGACCGAGGAAUCGUGCUUACUAGGUGGAGCAAAGUAGUCGACGUGUACGACAUGGAUACUGAAGACAGGAUGAUCUUCGCGCUACACCAUGGACGUGCAAGGACCUUUCUCUGAGGAGUAGUCCUGACUCUCUGUCAUAUUCCCUAAGUGAUCGUCCAUCUCUGUAUGUCAUAUUUUGUACUACUGUUGGUACUGAUGUGAUAAUGAUGAACAUGUAUAUUCUAUGAAGAAAUACUCAAUGGAUUUCGAAACGAGCAUCACAACCCUACAACAUUGAAAAUUUUAUUCUAAUAUGCUAUAAACUCUUUCAUGGUAGAGUUUAUAAGGUACUACGAUCUGAACACCAACAAGCCAUUUUGUUACUGUUACCCAUUUUUCUAAACCGGCCUAUCAUUGUUUGUGACACGAAACAUUUUCUGUCGCACUACAAAUCGUCGAGAAAAAUGUGCGUGCCUAGUGACACCAAAAAGCGUCCCACAAUUGCAGGCCAGAACAUCACGAAGUUAGCUAGGGUGCUGCCCCAUGAGGAAAACACCUCGUGACGACGGCCCGUCACAGAAAAUGAUUUCAGGCGACGUUUUCUGUUUCGUCGCUAGGGUUUUUGUCAUUAAAUAGACGAACUUUUGUAGUGCUAAUAUGAUCUUGUAAAAAUUUAAAAAAUUUAAAAUUUAUUUACUAUUUAUUUUGAUUUUACUGCUCAUUAGAGAGCAUAUGCUCCCCAGAGCCAAAAGUCCGCUUCCUGAUCUUUGCAUUUUCUUUGGUGAUACUUUUACACGAGUAUAACACUUGAUCAUGUUUGUUGCCAACAAAUUUCAGGAAUUUUGAAGCAUUCUUGCAAUUUCUAUUUUUCUCUUAAAAAAAUAGUAUGCACUUGCACCCGAGAGCCAAUCGAGUUUGCUAUAAACUUCCUUCAUUUCUUUACUAUUUGCAAGACAAAAGGAACAUUCUUUUUGUUAACUAGAAAAAGGAACGACUUACUUGCACUAUUUUUAGUACGAUGGGCCUAUAUUGUAUUCGCUUGUGGCGCUCCCCGGCGUUUACUGCUGUUCGACCCACUGUAAACUCUAAAAAAAGGCCUAUCUGACAGUGGGUACUUAUCAAUUUCUUUUUGUGUGUGAAAUUGCCACAGAUCGCUCUGCUUUAGAAAAUUAGAAAUGUGCUUCUGUCAGUCCAAAAGUUAUGAUUUACCAAUAUAAGAAGCCAAAUCAAAGUAGUAACGAAGCACCCAGGCUCCAAGAAAAUCUGUGUGACCUAUCACCUGACAUCAACAACCGAAGUAAGGAACGAACAAGGCAGAUUCCUGCAAAUGGAGCUAAGAUCCCAAACCGCGGAAGAUCCAGCUUUCUUCUACCUCCCCACUCCAUCAGAAGCAGCAACGCCUGGGAGCGCCACAAGUGUCACGGCGCAAACACGCCGCGAGUCCCACGACCACCGGCCGAGGCAAAGCGGAACACGCGUGCAUGGGGGAAGCUUUGCUUUUCUACGUAGGUACUCACCCGCCAUNNNNNNNNNNNNNNNNNNNNNNNNNNNNNNNNNNNNNNNNNNNNNNNNNNNNNNNNNNNNNNNNNNNNNNNNNNNNNNNNNNNNNNNNNNNNNNNNNNNNNNNNNNNNNNNNNNNNNNNNNNNNNNNNNNNNNNNNNNNNNNNNNNNNNNNNNNNNNNNNNNNNNNNNNNNNNNNNNNNNNNNNNNNNNNNNNNNNNNNNNNNNNNNNNNNNNNNNNNNNNNNNNNNNNNNNNNNNNNNNNNNNNNNNNNNNNNNNNNNNNNNNNNNNNNNNNNNNNNNNNNNNNNNNNNNNNNNNNNNNNNNNNNNNNNNNNNNNNNNNNNNNNNNNNNNNNNNNNNNNNNNNNNNNNNNNNNNNNNNNNNNNNNNNNNNNNNNNNNNNNNNNNNNNNNNNNNNNNNNNNNNNNNNNNNNNNNNNNNNNNNNNNNNNNNNNNNNNNNNNNNNNNNNNNNNNNNNNNNNNNNNNNNNGAGCGGGGACUACGGUACUUUAUAGGUGUUAAUAAUCUCAAUCUACUCGAUCAGAAAUUAGCGAUGAAAUAGGAUAACCUCUAACUGACGAACGUGCUGAUUGCUGAACGGCCCAAGCCCAAAAGUAUAGCCUGGAAGUAGCCCAGCCAACAAUUGAUGCAUUGGCAGUCGAUCAAAUGAUUUAUCCACAUCGACCCGACCUGACGACUCAAUUUGGUUAUCCUCUCGCCCGUGCUAGGGUUCCAUCGAGCAUCGCCGCCAGGAGCCGGCAAAGGUGCGCCCGCCAAGCUCGGGGUGCUUCACGCCUAGUGGUUGCUGCCAAAUCUAAGGCCGAUCAAUCCGACCAUAUAUUUUCUCCCUGCGAUUCUCCCACGUCAAGCGUGAGUCCAAACCUGAUCUGGUGAUUCUCAUAUACGCAUAUUAAUAAUACAAGUCCAAACAUGAUCUGAUCUUUAUUUGGUGCAGUACUAAACAGAAUCGCUGGUGGCGUCAUGAACUGCCGUUGAUCUGUGCUUAUGGCAUCACAUCUAAAUCUUGAGAUGAUAAUGAAAUUUGUAAAUGCAAGCACGGAGUAUAAGGUAAAAGAGUAUCUGCUGGAAGUCUAAUUUAUUUAUUUUCCAAUUUGUCUAUGAUUCACCUUUUAUGAGAUAAUCAAACAUGCUUUCAAAAUGAAGGUAGCUGCCGAUAAAUUUCGUUUUAGCUUAGGAACUUGCAAUACACAUUUUCAAAGUAAAAGUUUCUCCGACCAUGAUUGCCUAAUAUUGGGAAGAAAAUAGCUGCAAAAUUCAUUGUCGCUGAGACUAUUGAUUUGUUAGAUUAGCUUGGUGGAUGCUGAGUUCCAUUUAAACAGACAAAAUUAUAGGUUUCUUUAGUUGCAAAAGCAUAUGCUGUUAUUCAAGAUUUGACUUAUACUUGUGCUAGGUUUUACGUGUGAUCCUCUUCGCCUCCCCUAUCAUCAAAUCCUGGCUCCGCCCCUGGUCAGUACCUCCACUCCAGUCAGUUGGUGCAUGCAUGGAUGGACCGAUAUGUUUUGCUUUCUGGAUUUAGUAUGUCGCCGGCCAGGUCGAGUGGUCGACGCGCGAGCUGAUUGAUUGGUCCUUCUUUUCCUAUGUAGUUUGGCCCUUGAUUUCUUUUGUACUCCAAAGUAUGAGGAAGGGCCACUUUUAGUUGCAAUUUUGCUGUCAUGCUGUUUCUUCAUCACUUGUGAUGAGUUGUGAGUAUCAUGCCCCAUACUUCGCAAAAAGAAAAAAAUAGUGGACGAAAUGAUAGGAGAAAAUUAUGUGCCUUACAAAAGUUGCAUCGGAAGGUUACUGACCAAAUUCUAGACAUCUGAUCCAGUGGAUAGAUGCAUCGAUGUCAACGGCCAACUGUGAGUAUGGUUUCCAUCAGCUAUUAUUUACAUCCCACUUGAUUUCUUGUGGAUAAUUUUCGAUCGUACUGCCUUGUUACUUAAAGUGUUGCAUAAGUGUUAAGAUGCGGUGUUAACGAACUUGUUCCCACGCGGCGUUAAAAUUAUGAUUUCUCUUUCGCCAAAUAAACACAUUAUGAUUUGCCAACUAUAAUAGCGAUUAGUCUCCCACAUUUGUGUUUUUCUUUGUAUUGUACAUACCAUAAUUGCUAGAUCAGAGAACAAACUUAUAUUUCAAACGUUUGCUAUCAUGCAUGCGCUUGAAAGUUUUGAGCGCGACAGUCAAAUUGAGCACGAGCUGGAGAUGCCGUAGCCUAUCGCCGUUCCGGUGGAGGCAAUGCGAAGGCUUAAAGGGUGCGGGGUUGCCGGUGCCGGAGUUGGUGGACCGGGUAUAGAGGGAAGAUCAGGGGAGGCGACAACACAACGGCUCGAGCAAGGCGGCUGGUGGUUCGCCCAGUGGCACCAAAGGGGGGAGGGGUGGAUAGGAGGAGGAUGAGGAUGCCACAACCGAUGGAUAGCCAAUUCUACAAAAAGCCAAAAAGAUGUGCUUAACAGUUAGGUCCUAUAUUUUGAGCAGAUUUAUAUCGCACUGAUUUGCAACACUGUAUGUGUGCCUAUUCUCUCUUCCUUUUAUUUUCUCUUCCGCCUUCGUCCCAUCUGGUGGCUGUCCAGCUCCCUCCCUAAGUUGCGAUGGUCCAAAGCGAAUUCCGUAAUAUGUGCACCCCUAAUUGUUGGGGUGGCUCGGUUGAUGAGGCCCUAGUGUAGGAGGUGGUGAUAAAGGAAAGUCUGAUGGUGUGAACCGCCAUAGAUGUGGAAGGUGGGAGUUGAGUGUGUUAGUGAGGAAAAGGGUAACAAUACGACGAGGAAAAAGCGUGAGGAAGGAGAGAGCCUUUAGGAUCUAGUAAAAGAAAGGGGAAGACCAAACAUAAUUUUUUUUGUAACCCGUUAUUCAUGUAAAAAUAGUAAAAUGAGUUUUACGAAAAUCAGAUAAAAACUUAUUUUUUGUAUACAUAUGGCUAAUGUUCGUUCUUCAAAUAAUAUACCGGUAUCGUAUACAUGAUAGUAGUAUCAUAUGUAAUAUUAAUGUAUGAUGCUCUCCACUAUGAUCAGCCUUUGAAGUUUUUUCUCGUUUACUUUCAUAUGUCGUUUUGACCAGCCUCCAUUUGGCAAAAAAAUGGCCAAUAAGACCCGGUAGUACAACAACCCCCAACAAAGACAAAAUUUACAUUUGGCUCCCACAAAAUUUACAUUCGGGUCCCUAGGGAGCCGACCACACACGCACACCGCCACGAGCUUAGGGCGCUCCACCGCAUCCAGACGCGGCCAUGUGCAAGUAAGAAUGAUGGGAUGCCUUUCAAGGAAAACCCAUUAGAUGGACAUCAAACAACAAUUUUUCAGACACUUAUCCACUAGCUUGGAGUGCAGCGUAUAGCUGUUGCAUGCCUUUUGAUUAGGGAAGCGUUAUAUUUACAUCUACUCCCUCCGUUUCCAAAUACUUGUCUUUCUAGGCAUUUUAAAUGGACUCAACAUACGGAUGUAUGUAGACAUAUUUUAAAGUGUAGAUUCACUCAUUUUGCGCCGUAUGUAGUCACUUGUUGAAAUCUCUAGAAAGACAAGUAUUUAGGAACGGAGGGAGUAGUAUCUUGUAAGAGAGGAAAUAAGACCACCUGCAAGCUGGUCCCAGUCUCAAAUGCAGUAGGGUGAAACAAAAUUAAAUCAUUGUGCGCCGCGCAUAGUUGAAAAAUACUCCUUGCUAGCCAUCCUAAUCGAUGGAAAAUCGUUAGAGAUCACACAUGGCCUACCUACAUUUUGCUUGGGCAAGGCAAAAGGUAACUGGAGCCCCACAAACCGCUCGAGGGUGCGUUGCAUGUGGACAAGGCACGAACAAAAAUCAAGGGGUCGACAUGCAGUUUCAUCAAAAAUCAAUUAAGAAAACGAGUUAGUUGGGCGUUGGCUGAUUCAUCAGUGACACAAACGGCAGCACGAAAUAGGGCGCGCGCGGGCGGGGCCUAAUCCACCACCAGCCAUCAGGAUCUUGUCGGCUAGGCCAAGACCUGCCCCUUUUUUUCCCCGCUCCGGCCGAUCCGAUUUGUUAUAGGCUGUCAAGCGGCGCAACCUGCAAGGUGCAAGCUCUUGAUUGGGACGCCCAUAUAACGUAGUAACAAAAAGCUUAUGGGUCGACGGAUUCCAAGCUUUUCUAGAGCAUCUCCAACAGGCGUCUAAAAACUGGACCGCGCGCUAAAAUUAGGUUUCUUGUGCGCCAGACAGCUCCAGCAGAAGCUGUAAAACAAUGCACGCGUAAAAAGGGUUGGGCGUGUGUUGAAAAAUGCUACCGCAUGUUGCAAAUUUGAGACACCGAAUUACACGCGCUUCACAAUUUACACUGCUUGUUUUUUUGGGCGCGCGUUUUUUGGCAUCUACUAAAGCAAUGUUGGGUCCGACGUACUAAAAGUGCUACAGUGACGCGCUAAAACUAUUUUAGGGCGUGAAAUUUUUAUGCACCUGUUGGAGAUGCUCUUACGUUGAUGCAAAGUCGUUCAUGCAUGCAUGCCAUUGCAUCCUUAUCUGCCACAUGGUGGAGGCCCCAUCUUGAUUUCAUGUGAUCUAUUACGGACAUGUCGUCUGCACCGUUGCUUUCUGCCGAGAUCUGACGGACGAUCCGGCAACUUUAUGUAGCCCCUCUCGAUUCAUAAGUUUGGGAACAGAUUGAUGCCAUUAGGGGCAAGAAAUUUGGACAGGCAAGUAGGCAGGACCGAAGGCACUGGAUUGUGAGAUAUUGCUCCCAACAGAUUGCCUGCUUGCAUAUUGCACUUGCACUCCUGAGUAAGGAAAUAACAGUAAAAGAGCUCGCCAAUGGGGUGGGUUUAUUGGGUCAUAUACAAAGCUUAAUACGUGAAGCACUUGCAAGUUGGCAGAGCAGAUCUGGAAGCAUGUGGUGUGGCCGGCCAAAUUGGUCAACAGACGUACAAGCAGUGAAACUUCUCUCCUUGCGUGGCCUGAGUUUCUACAACAUAUCUUACUCCAUAGCAUACAUUCGGUUGGAUGCUGUAUAGACCGACUAAUUUGUGUAGUACCAUGAUACGCGGUUCUUUCACCUCCGACACUAAUAAUCUAACACUAACACUGUGAGCUACUCGUUGUUGGAGUACUAUAGAACACAUGUUUGUAUUAGUCGCCGGACGUCGGUGUCGUCCAUAUCUGUUAAACGAAAACUCGCGCACAUUCCCCGGGUUUCCUCGUUUCCCCGCCUUUUCCUUCACUAGUCGUCCUGCACCUUUUCGUUUCACGCAAGUAAAGCAAGCAUACUUUAAUUUUUGGUCAAUGCAAUGCAAGGCCAAUUCAAGUUUAUCCAUUUUGAUUAAUCGUCCUUUUUUUAAAACCAGAGACACAACAACCAGGAAUUCGGGUCGAUCUCUAUCCCCGCCCCCACGCAACAUCCAAUGGUUUUGAAGGAAAAUCAAACGUAAUGGAGCAUAAACAAUGGAGAUUACACGAUCAUCGCUGAUGACAGGGAAGCCUUAACGCCCUCCCACAUGCCAAUAUUCAAUAUGCACAUGCAUAUCUGUGAGCUGCUUUCUUUGCCUUUGAGGGUCACCGUCUCACGAUAGGAAAUGACAGCUGGGUCGCAUGGGUAGAGCCAUCUGGCUGGGCUGGCUCGCCACCAAACCCACGCGGCCCGCCACGACCGGCCUGCGCCGAGAUGGUUCGCUGACGAGGCGCGUCGUCGGACGAAACGCUGACUCAGACCACCGUGGGCGCCAUGGAAGAAAGGCAGCUCAGAGGAGAAACUAAAGAAAGCUACUCCAAUGGCAGCGCAUGCAUGCACGGAGAGGAGACUGAGACUGGCCGAACGUGUAGUGACGGUGCCUUCCAUUCCAUGCACGCGCGAACCUUCUUAACUUCUUCUCUUCCUGGGGGCAGACCCCGCCGCCGAUAUUUUAUCCACUCCUGCUGCCACGGCGUCACCGUCGCCGAGUCAUCUCGCAAGAAGGUGCGGUAACGUGCGGUGUACAUACUCGUGGCAGCAUGGCAUUGAAUGCGCUCCAAGCUUUCUCGACUUUGAAGUUUGAACACACUGACUACGAACUUAAAACUAAUCUGAAGAAAAAAAAGAUGGAAAUUCGGUUGCGUUGCAUACUUUGCACAAACAGGGAUCGAUCAACGACUCACCGGCCGGGCGGCCGGCGACAAAGUUAGGGCAACUCCAACGCGGAUCAUUAAAAUGUAUCUCACCAAAUAUUCACACACACUUCCAAACGUAUCCGUGGACAGGGAUAGGGGUGGAUGUCAUCCGAUCACAGGCACCAAAUGCCCAUCUCUGAUCCGGCCUCUUCCAUUUGACAUGCAUAUCUUGCACAAUAACAAUUUAAGCACACUUUUAAUAGUUGCAAACAUAUGCAAUUGAUCCCAAAAGUUGUCGGUCCAGUUGUCUGUGCCAAAGGCCUCCUUGAACUCCAAGUUCGGUUGUCUGUGACAAAGACCUCACUAUUUAACUGGCCCGGUCUUCUUCGUUCAUGCGAAAUGCUUAAAUAUGCUUGUACGGUAGGCUUGGAUAAUAUUCACCGCAUCGGGAUCCAAGUCUGACGUCUUCAUGAAUAACGCUUUGGAGUCCUCCGAAGCGGCAUUGAUCUCAAGCUUCUUUUCUUGGAGCUUGAGCUUCGUAUCUUGCAUCUCUAUGAAGAUGUCGAACCCCUCCGCUCAACAUGGCACCCGCAUGGUUUGGGUAUGGGUAUUACGUGCCCAUACACACACCCGUCUCAAAAAUCUCCGCCCAUACCCAUACCCAUACCCGCACCCCAGGUUUCAAACCGUUCCCAUACCCAUACCCCGCGGGUAAAAAUACCCAACUAGGCGUGUAUACUUGAGCAUUUACAUUUCAACAUUUUGACACAUAUUGACAACAUUUCAACACAUGUAUACAACAUAUCAGCACGUGUAUACAAUAUUUCAGCACAUUUAUAACAUUUCGGCACACUUAUACAACAUUUCAACACAUUUAUUGUUGGAAAUAUGCUCUAGAGGCAAUAAUAAAAUGGUUAUUAUUAUAUUUCGUUGUUCAUGAUAAUUGUCUAUUGUUCAUGCUAUAAUUGUGUUAUCCGGAAAUCGUAAUACAUGUGUGAAUAUAUAGACCACAACACGUCCCUAGUAAGCCUCUAGUUGACUAGCUCGUUGAUCAACAGAUAGUCAUGGUUUCCUGACUAUGGACAUUGGAUGUCAUUGAUAACGGGAUCACAUCAUUAGGAGAAUGAUGUGAUGGACAAGACCCAAUCGUAAGCGUAGCACAAAGAUCGUGUAGUUCGUUUUGCUAGAGCUUUUCCAAAUGUCAAGUAUCAUUUCCUUAGACCAUAAGAUUGUGCAACUCCCGGAUACCGUAGGAGUGCUUUGGGUGUGCCAAACGUCACAACGUAACUGGGUGACUAUAAAGGUGCACUACGGGUAUCUCCGAAAGUGUCUGUUGGGUUGGCACGAAUCGAGACUGGGAUUUGUCACUCCGUAUGACGGAGAGGUAUCUCUGGGCCCACUCGGUAAUGCAUCAUCAUAAUGAGCUCAAUGUGACCAAGUGUCUGGUCACGGGAUCAUGCAUUACGGUACGAGUAAAGUGACUUGCCGGUAACGAGAUUAAACGAGGUAUUGGGAUACCGACGAUAGAAUCUCGGGCAAGUAACGUACCAAUUGACAAAGGGAAUUGUAUACGGGAUUGAUUGAAUCCUCAACAUCGUGGUUCAUCCGAUGAGAUCAUCGAGGAGCAUGUGGGACCCAACAUGGGUAUCCAGAUCCCGCUGUUGGUUAUUGACCGGAGAGGCGUCUCGGUCAUGUCUGCAUGUCUCCCGAACCCGUAGGGUCUACACACUUAACGUUCGGUGACGCUAGGGUUGUUGAGAUAUUAGUAUGCAGUAACCCGAAAGUUGUUCGGAGUCCCGGAUGAGAUCCCGGACGUCACGAGGAGUUCUGGAAUGGUCCGAAGGUGAAGAUUUAUAUACAGGAAGUUCAGUUUCGGCCAUCGGGAAAGUUUCGUGGGGUCACCGGUAUUGUACCGGGACCACCGGAAGGGUCCCGGGGGUCCACCAGGUGGGGCCACCUAUCCCGGAGGGCCCCAUGGGCUGAAGUGGGAGGGGAACCAGNNNNNNNNNNNNNNNNNNNNNNNNNNNNNNNNNNNNNNNNNNNNNNNNNNNNNNNNNNNNNNNNNNNNNNNNNNNNNNNNNNNNNNNNNNNNNNNNNNNNNNNNNNNNNNNNNNNNNNNNNNNNNNNNNNNNNNNNNNNNNNNNNNNNNNNNNNNNNNNNNNNNNNNNNNNNNNNNNNNNNNNNNNNNNNNNNNNNNNNNNNNNNNNNNNNNNNNNNNNNNNNNNNNNNNNNNNNNNNNNNNNNNNNNNNNNNNNNNNNNNNNNNNNNNNNNNNNNNNNNNNNNNNNNNNNNNNNNNNNNNNNNNAAGCCGCCCCCUUGCCCCCCCCUUGGAGAUUGGAUCUCCUAGGGACGGCGCCCCCUAGGGGCCCUAUAUAAAGAGGGGGGAGGGAGGGCAGCCGCACCCAAGUCCCUGGCGCCUCCCUCUCCCCACGCACCACCUCUUCCUCUCGCUGAAGCUUGGCGAAGCCCUACCGAGAUCACUGUUGCAUCCACCACCACGCCGUCGUGCUGCUGGAUCUCCAUCAACCUCUCCUUUCCCCUUGCUGGAUCAAGAAGGAGGAGACGUCUUCCCGACCGUACGUGUGUUGAACGCGGAGGUGUCGUCCGUUCGGCGCUAGGAUCUCCGGUGAUUUGGAUCACGACGAGUACGACUCCAUCAACCCCGUUCUCUUGAACGCUUCCGCUCGCGAUCUACAAGGGUAUGUAGAUGCUAUCCUCUCUCUCGUUGCUAGAUGACUCCAUAGAUUGAUCUUGGUGAAGCGUAGAAAUUUUUUAUUUUCUACAACGUUCCCCAACAGUGGCAUCAUGAGCUAGGUCUAUGCGUAGUUUCUAUGCACGAGUAGAACACAAAUUUGUUGUGGGUGUAGAUGUUGUCAAUUUUCUUGCCACUACUCGUCUUAUCUUGCUUUGGCGGUAUCGUGGGAUGAAGCAGCCCGGACCGACCUUACACGUACGCUUACGUGAGACAGGUUCCACCGACUGGCAUGCACUAGUUGCAUAAGGUGGCUAGCGGGUGUCUGUCUCUCCCACUUUAGUUGGAGCAGAUUCGAUGAAAAGGGUCCUUAUGAAAGGUAAAUAGAAAUUGGCAUGUCACGUUGUGGCUUUUACGUAGGUAAGAAACGUUCUUGCUAGAAUCCUAUUACAACCACGUAAAAACAUGCAACAACAAUUAGAGGACGUCUAACUUGUUUUUGCAUCAUGUGCUUUGUGAUGUGAUAUAGCCAAAAGUUGUGAUGAAUGAUAUAUAUGUGAUGUAUGAGAUCAUGUUCUUGUAAUAGGAAUCAUGACUUGCAUGUCGAUGAGUAUGACAACUGGCAGGAGCCAUAGGAGUUGUCUUUUUUUUAUGACCUGCGUGUCAUUGAAUAACGCCAUGUGAAUUACUUUACUUUAUUGCUAAACACGUUAGACAUAGAAGUAGAAGUAAUCGUUGCCGUGACAACUUCAUGAAGACACGAUGAUGGAGAUCAUUAUGAUGGAGAUCAUGGUGUCAUGCCGGUGACGAAGAUGAUCAUGGCUCCCCGAAGGUGGAGAUCAAAGGAGCAAUAUGAUAAUGGCCAUAUCAUGUCACUAUUUGAUUGCAUGUGAUGUUUAUCAUGUUUUACAUCUUAUUUGCUUAGAACGACGGUAGCUUAAAUAAGAUGAUCCCUCGCAAUAAUUUCAAGAAAGUGUUCCCCCUAACUGUGCACCGUUGUGAAGGUUCGUUGUUUCGAAGCACCACGUGAUGAUCGGGUGUGAUAGAUCCUAACGUUCAAAUACAACGGGUGUAAGCCAGAUUUACACACGCAAUACACUUAGGUUGACUUGACGAGCCUAGCAUGUACAGACAUGGCCUCAGAACACAGAAGACCGAAAGGUCGAGCAUGAGUCGUAUAGAAGAUACGAUCAACAUGAAGAUGUUCAUCAAUGUCGACUAGUCCGUCUCACGUGAUGAUCGGACACGGCCUAGUUGAUUCGAAUCAUGUUUCACUUAGAUGACUAGAGGGAUGUCUGUCUGAGUGGGAGUUCAUUGAAUAAUUUGAUUAGAUGAACUUAAUUAUCAUGAACUUAGUCUAAAAUCUUUACAAUAUGUCUUGUAGAUCAAAUGGCCCACGUUGCCCUCAACUUCAACGCAUUCCUAGAGAAAACCAAGCUAAAAGAUGAUGGCAGCAACUAUACGGACUGGGUCCGGAACCUGAGGAUCAUCCUCAUAGCUGCCAAGAAAGAUUAUGUCCUAGAAGCACCGCUAGGUGAAUCACCCAUCCCAGAGAACCAAGACAUUAUGAACACUUGGCACUCUCGUGCUGAUGAUUACUCCCUCGUUCAGUGUAGCAUGCUUUACAGCUUAGAACCGGGGCUCCAAAAGCAUUUUGAGCAACACGGAGCAUAUGAGAUGUUCGAAGAGCUGAAAAUGGUUUUCCAAGCUCAUGCCCAGGUCGAGAGAUAUGAAGUCUCCGACAAGUUCUUCAGUUUUAAGAUGGAGGAAAAUAGUUCUCUCAGUGAGCACAUACUCAAAAUGUCUAGGUUGCACAACCGCUUGACUCAGCUGGGAGUUAAUCUCCCGGAUGACGCGGUGAUUGACAGAAUCCUUCAGUCGCUUCCACCGAGCUACAAGAGCUUUGUGAUGAACUUCAAUAUGCAGGGGAUGGAAAAGACCAUUCCUGAGGUAUAUUCAAUGCUGAAAUCAACGGAGGUAGAGAUCAAAAAGGAACAUCAAGUGUUGAUGGUGAAUAAAACCACUAAGUUCAAAAAGGCAAGGGUAAGAAGAACUUCAAGAAGGACGGCAAGGGAUUUGUCGCGCCCGGUAAGCCAGUUGCCGGGAAGAAGCCAAAGAAUGGACCCAAGCCUAAGACUGAGUGCUUUUAUUGCAAGGAAAGUGGUCACUGGAAGCGGAACUGCCCCAAGUACUUAGCGUACAAGAAGGCCGGCAACACUAAAGGUAUAUGUGAUAUACAUGUAAUUGAUGUGUACCUUACCAGUACUCGUAGUAGCUCCUAGGUAUUUGAUACCGGUGCGGUUGCUCACAUUUGUAACUCAAAGCAGGAGCUGCGGAAUAAGCGGAGACUGGCGAAGGACGAGGUGACGAUGCGCGUCGGGAAUGGUUCCAAGGUCGAUGUGAUCGCCGUUGGCACGCUACCUCUACAUUUACCUACGGGAUUAGUUUUAAACCUCAAUAAUUGUUAUUUAGUGCCAGCUUUGAGCAUGAACAUUGUAUCUGGAUCUCGUUUAAUACGAGAUGGCUACUCAUUUAAAUCCGACAAUAAUGGUUGUUCUAUCUAUAUGAGAGAUAUGUUUUAUGGUCAUGCCCCGAUGGUCAAUGGUUUAUUCUUAAUGAAUCUUGAACGUGAUGUUACACAUAUUCAUAGUGUGAAUACCAAAAGAUGUAAAGUUGAUAACGAUAGUCCCACAUACUUGUGGCACUGCCGCCUUGGUCAUAUUGGUGUCAAGCGCAUGAAGAAGCUCCAUGCUGAUGGUCUUUUAGAGUCUCUGGAUUAUGAAUCAUUUGACACAUGCGAACCAUGCCUCCUGGGCAAAAUGACCAAGACUCCAUUCUUCGGAACAAUGGAGCGAGCAACCAACUUAUUGGAAAUCAUACAUACUGAUGUGUGCGGUCCAAUGAGCGUUGAGGCUCGCGGAGGAUAUCGUUAUGUUCUCACUCUCACUGACGACUUGAGUAGAUAUGUGUAUGUCUACUUGAUGAAACACAAGUAUGAGUCCUUUGAAAAGUUCAUGGAAUUUUAGAAUGAGGUAGAGAAUCAACGUGACUGAAAGAUAAAGUUCUUACGAUCAGAUCGUGGAGGAGAAUAUUUAAGUCACGAAUUUGGUACGCACUUAAGGAAAUUUGGAAUCAUUUCACAACUCACGCCACCUGAACACCUCAGCGUAACGGUGUGUCCGAACGUCUUAAUCGCACUUUAUUGGAUAUGGUGCGAUCUAUGAUGUCUCUUACCGAUUUACCGCUAUCAUUUUGGGGAUAUGCUCUAGAGACAGCUACAUUCACUUUAAAUAGGGCUUGUCUAAAUCCGUUGAGACGACACCAUAUGAAUUAUGGUUUGGGAAGAAACCUAAGCUGUUGUUUCUAAAAGUUUGGGGAUGCGAUGCUUAUGUCAAGAAACUUCAACCUGAAAAGCUCGAACCCAAGUCGAAAAAAUGUGUCUUCAUAGGAUACCCUAAGGAAACCAUUGGGUAUACCUUCUACCUCAAAUCCGAAGGCAAGAUCUUUGUUGCCAAGAACGGGUCCUUUCUGGAGAAAGAGUUUCUCUCGAAAGAAGUAAGUGGGAGGAAAGUGGAACUUGAUGAAGUACUACCUCUUGAACCGGAAAGUAGCGCAGCUCAGGAAGAUGUUCAUGUGGUGCCUGCACCGACUAGAGAGGAAACUAAUGAUGAUGAUCAAGGUACUUCGGAUCAAGUAACUACUGAACUUCGUAGGUCCACGAGGACACGUUCCACACCAGAGUGGUAUGGCAACCCUGUCCUCGAAAUCAUGUUGUUAGACAACGGUGAACCUUCGAACUAUGAAGAAGCGAUGGCGGGCCCAGAUUCCAACAAAUGGCUUGAAGCCAUGCAAUCCGAGAUAGGAUCCAUGUAUAAAGACGAAGUAUGGACUUUGACAGACUUGCCCGAUGAUCGGCGAGCGAUAGAAAACAAAUGGAUCUUUAAGAAAAAGACGGGUGCGGAUGGUAAUGUUACCAUCUAUAAAGCUCGACUUGUCGCUAAGGGUUAUCGACAAGUUCAAGGGGUUGACUAUGAUGAGACUUUCUCUCCCGUAGCGAAGCUGAAGUCUGUCCGAAUUAUCUUAGCAAUUGCCGCAUACUAUGAUUAUGAGAUAUGGCAAAUGGACGUCAAAACGGCAUUCCUUAACGGCUAUCUUAAGGAAGAACUGUAUAUGAUGCAGCCGGAAGGUUUUGUCGAUCCUGAAAAUGCUACCAAGGUAUGCAAACUCCAGCGAUCCGUUUAUGGGCUGGUGCAAGCAUCUCGGAGUUGGAACAUUCGCUUUGAUGAGAUGAUCAAAGUGUUUGGGUUUAUGCAGACUUAUGGAGAAGCCUGCGUUUACAAGAAAGUGAGUGGGAGCUCUGUAGCAUUUCUCAUAUUAUAUGUAGAUGACACACUUUUGAUGGGAAAUGAUAUAGAACUUUUGGACAGCAUUAAGGCCUACUUGAAUAAGUGUUUUUCAAUGAAGGACCUUGGAGUAGCUGCUUACAUAUUAGGCAUCAAGAUCUAUAGGGAUAGAUCGAGACGCCUCAUAGGUCUUUCACAAAGCACAUGCCUUGAUAAGAUAUUGAAGAAGUUCAAUAUGGAACAGACCAAGAAGGGGUUCUUGCCUGUGUUGCAAGGUGUGAAAUUUAGCUCAGCUCAAUGCCCGACCACGGCAGAAGAUAGAUAAAAGAUGAGUGCCAUCCCUAUGCCUCAGCUAUAGGGUCUAUUAUGUAUGCCAUGUUGUGUACCAGACCUGAUGUAAACCUUGUCGUAAGUUUGGUAGGAAGGUACCAAAGUAAUCCCGGCAUGGAACACUGGACAGCGGUCAAGAACAUCCUAAAGUACCUGAAAAGGACUAAAGAUAUGUUUCUCGUUUAUAGAGGUGACGAAGAGCUCGUCCUAAAGGGUUAAGUCGACGCUAGCUUCGACACAGAUCUGGAUGACUCUAAGUCACAAACCGGAUACAUGUAUAUUUUGAAUGGUGGGGCAGUAAGCUGGUGCAGUUGCAAGCAAAGCGUCGUGGCGGGAUCUACAUGUGAAGCAGAGUACAUGGCAGCCUCGGAGGCAGCGCAUGAAGCAAUCUGGGUGAAGGAGUUCAUCAUCGACCUAGGAGUCAUACCCAAUGCGUCGGGGCUGAUCACACUCUUCUGUGACAACACUGGAGCUAUUGCACUUGCCAAGGAGCCCAGGUUUCACAAGAAGACUAGGCACAUCAAGCAUCGCUUCAACUCCAUACGUGAAAAUGUUCAAGAUGGAGACAUAGAUAUUUGUAAAGUACAUACGGACCUGAAUGUAGCAGAUCUGUUGACUAAACCUCUCCCUAGAGCAAAACAUGAUCAACACCAGAACUCUAUGGGUGUUCGAUUCAUCACAAUGUAACUACAUUAUUGACUCUAGUGCAAGUGGGAGACUGUUGGAAAAAUGCCCUAGAGGCAAUAAUAAAAUGGUUAUUAUUAUAUUUCCUUGUUCAUGAUAAUUGUCUAUUGUUCAUGCUAUAAUUGUGUUAUCCGGAAAUCGUAAUACAUGUGUGAAUAUAUAGACCAUAACACGUCCCUAGUAAGCCUCUAGUUGACUAGCUCGUUGAUCAACAGUUAGUCAUGGUUUCCUGACUAUGGACAUUGGAUGUCAUUGAUAACGGGAUCACAUCAUUAGGAGAAUGAUGUGAUGGACAAGACCCAAUCGCAAGCGUAGCACAAAGAUCGUGUAGUUCAUUUUGCUAGAGCUUCUCCAAAUGUAAAGUAUCAUUUCCUUAGACCAUGAGAUUGUGCAACUCCCGGAUACCGUAGGAGUGCUUUGGGUGUGCCAAACGUCACAACGUAACUGGGUGACUAUAAAGGUGCACUACGGGUAUCUCCGAAAGUGUCUGUUGGGUUGGCACGAAUCGAGACUGGGAUUUGUCACUCCGUAUGACGGAGAUGUAUCUCUGGGCCCACUCGGUAAUGCAUCAUCAUAAUGAGCUCAAUGUGACCAAGUGUCUGGUCACGGGAUCAUGCAUUAUGGUAUGAUUAAAGUGACUUGCCGGUAACGAGAUUAAAUGAGGUAUUGGGAUACCGACGAUCGAAUCUCGGGCAAGUAACGUGCCGAUUGACAAAGGGAAUUGUAUACGGGAUUGAUUGAAUCCUCGACAUCGUGGUUCAUCCGAUGAGAUCAUGGAGGAGAAUGUGGGAGCCAACAUGGGUAUCCAGAUCCCACUGUUGGUUAUUGACCGGAGAGGCGUCUCGGUCAUGUCUGCAUGUCUCCCGAACCCAUAGGGUCUACACACUUAAGGUUCGGUGACGCUAGGGUUGUUGAGAUAUUAGUAUGUAGUAACCUGAAAGUUGUUCGGGGUCCCGGAUGAGAUCCCGGAUGUCACGAGGAGUUCCGGAAUGGUCCGGAGGUGAAGAUUUAUAUAUAGGAAGUUCAGCUUCGGCCAUCGGGAAAGUUUCGGGGGGUCACGGGUAUUGCACCGGGACCACCGGAAGGGUCCCGGGGGUCCACCGGGUGGGGCCACCUAUCCCGGAGGGCCCCAUGGGCUGAAGUGGGAGGGGAACCAGCCCCUGGUGGACUGGUGCGCCCCCCCCCCUUGGGCCCCCCCUGCACCUAGGGUUGGAAACCCUAGGGGUGGGGGCGCCUCACUUGCCUUGGGGGGCAAGCCACCCCCUUGGCCGCCGCCCCCCUUGGAGAUUGGAUCUCCUAGGGCCGGCGCCCCCCCUAGGGGCCCUAUAUAAGGAGCGGGGGAGGGAGGGCAGCCGCACCCAAGUCCCUGGUGCCUCCCUCUCCCCACGCACCAGCUCUCCCUCUCGCUGAAGCUUGGCGAAGCCCUGCCAAGAUCACUGCUGCAUGCACCACCACGCCGUCGUGCUGCUGGAUCUCCAUCAACCCAUCCUUUCCCCUUGCUGGAUCAAGAAGCAGGAGACAUCUUCCCGACCGUACGUGUGUUGAACGCGGAGGUGCCGUCCGUGCGGCGCUAGGAUCUCCGGUGAUUUGGAUCACAACGAGUACGACUCCAUCAACCCCGUUCUCUUGAACGCUUCCGCUCGCGAUCUACAAGGGUAUGUAGAUGAUAUCCUCUCUCUCGUUGCUAGAUGACUCCAUAGAUUGAUCUUGGUCAAGCAUAGAAAUUUUUUAUUUUCUGCAACGAUCCCCAACAUUUAUACAUAAAUUUUGACAUUUCAGCACACACACACAUAAAUCAUUUCAACCACUUAAGUUCGACACACAAGUUGGUUCAAGACACAAAUAAGUUCGACACACAAGUAGUUCAUUCAACCUCAACACAAAAGUAGGUUCAAAACACAAAUAAGUUGGACACAUAGUCAUUGCAGCCACUUGAACCUCUCCAACAUGACACCAAACCAACUUGAGUAGAUUUCGUCUUCUACUCACUUCAUGAGCCUUCGCAUCUCAAACCGCCAAAUCCUAAUUUGGGAAUUGUGAGACAUGAGAACUUGAGAGCUUUAUGUAUACAAGAUAUGUUUGCAAAAUCCUAAUUUCGGAAUUGUGGAUGGAUGGACGAGUUCCGGCAGCCCAGCGGGGGGCGCGUGCACGAGCUCGGCGGCAGCCGCUGGUGUUGGGGAAUGCGGUAAUUUAAAAAAAAAUCCUACGAUCACGCAAGAUCUAUCUAGGUGAUGCAUAGCAAUGAGAGGGGAGAGUGUGUCCACGUAUCCUCAUAGACCGAAAGCGGAAGCAUUUAGUUAACGCGGUUGAUGUAGUCAAACGUCUUCGCGAUCCAACCGAUACAAGCACCGAAUGUACGGUACCUCCGCGUUCAGCACACGUUUAGCUCGAUGACGUCCCUCGUACUCUUGAUCCAGUUGAGGCCGAGGGAGAGUUUCGUCAGCACGACGGCGUGGUGACGGUGAUGAUAAAGUUACCGGCGCAGGGCUUUGCCUAAGCACUACAACGAUAUGACUGAGGUGUGUAACUGUGGAGGGGCGCACCGCACACGGCUAAAACAAUUGUCAACUUGUGUGUUCUAGGGUACCCCCCUGCCCCCGUAUAUAAAGGAGAAAGGGGGAUGCCGGUCGGCUCUCUAGGGCGCGCCAAGGGGGGAGGAAUCCUCCUCCUAGUAGGAGUAGGACUCCCCCCCUUUCCUAGUCCUACUAGGAGAAGAAGGAAGGAGGGGGAGGAGAAGGAAGGAGGGGGCGCCUCCCCUUCCCCUAGCCCAAUUCGGACUAGGCCCAUGGGGGGGCAUGGCCAGACCCUGGCCGCCCCUCUCUCUCUCCCUUAGGCCCAAUAAGUCCCAUUACUUCUCUAGUGGUUCCGAUAACCCUUCCGGCACUCCGGUUAUAUCCGAAACUUCCCCGGAACACUUCCGGUGUCCGAAUAUAGUCGUCCAAUAUAUCAAUCUUUAUGUCUCGACCAUUUCGAGACUCCUCAUCGUGUCUGUGAUCACAUUUGGUACUCCGAACAAUCUUCGGUACAACAUAUCACAUAAACUCAUAAUACCAAUCGUCAUCAAACGUUAAGCGUGCGGACCCUACGGGUUCGAGAACUAUGUAGACAUGACCGAGACACGUCUCCGGUCAAUAACCAAUAGCGGAACUUGGAUGCUCAUAUUGGUUCCUACAUAUUCUAUAAAGAUCUUUAUCGGUCAAACCGCAUAACAACAUACGGUGUUCCCUUUGUCAUCGGUAUGUUACUUGCCCGAGAUUCGAUCGUACGUAUCUAAAUACCUAGUUCAAUCUCGUUACCGGCAAGUGUCUUUACUCGUUCCAUAAUACUUCAUCCCGCAACUAAAUCAUUAGUCACAAUGCUUGCAAGGAUUAUAGUGAUGAGUAUUACCGAGAGGGCCCAGAGAUACCUCUCCGAAACACGGAGUGACAAAUCCUAAUCUCGAUCUAUGCCAACCCAACAAACACCUUCGGAAACACCUGUAGUGCACCUUUAUAAUCACCCUUUUACGUUGUGACGUUUGGUAGCACACAAAGUGUUCAUCCGGUAUUCGGGAGUUGCAUAAUCUCAUAGUCUGAGGAACUUGUAUAAGUCAUGAAGAAAGCAGUAGCAAUGAAACUGACACGGUCAUAAUGCUAAGCUAAUGGAUGGGUCAUGUCCAUCACAUCAUUCUCCUAAUGAUGUGAUCUCGUUCAUCAAAUGACAACACAUGUCUAUGGUUAGAAAACAUAGCCAUCUUUGAUUAACGAGCUAGUCUAGUAGAGGCGUACUAGGGACUAUAUGUUUUGUCUAUGUACUCACACAUGUACUAAGUUUCUGGUUAAUACAAUUCUAGCAUGAAUAAUAAACAUGUAUCAUGAAUUAAGGAAAUAAAUAAUAACUUUAUUAUUGCCUCUAGGGCAUAUUUCCUUCAGCUGGGCGCGUCGUUGCGUGGAAGGUCUGGUGGUGCGGUCGUGCUUGCGCGGGGUAGAAGGAGGCCAGAGGUGUGGGUGCAAGGAGAUCCGAAGAAGCCGAGAAGGAGCAGGUCGAAGGCAGUGGCGCGGCGCCGACCGCCUAGGGUUAGCAGGUGGGCGGGAUUUGGGUUUGGUUGUGUGGGUGAUGGCGCAAGGGGGUGGGCGCGGUUUGGAUCGGGAAGGGGGGUGUGGGUGGUCCAGCCAGCAGUAGCUUAGGGUUUUCUCAUCUAAGUCAAUGACACAUGGGACCUACUUGACAGGGUUAUUAUUAUACGGGUUUGAGGGUUCACGAGUAUGGCUAUUGCCUUCCCAUACUCGUACCCGCCUUACCCAUUGGAUAUGAUUUUUUUCCCAUUUAGAAACCCAUGGGUAUUUUAAUUUCCCAUGCCCUUACCCUAAUAGGGUAUUUACCCGUCGGGUUCGCGGGUUGCGGGUACCCGUUGCCAUGUUGACUCUCCGCCUUCUUCCCCUCCUUCAUCUUGUGAUACUUGCCUCAUUCUUCUUCGUCGUGAUGUGCAAGAACUUCUCCGUCAUCUUGGCCGCCGCCCCUUCUCGCGUCUCCUUCUCCUCCUAUCACUUGCUCCACAAGUUCCUAAUCAUCUUCUUGGUCGGAGCAAGCCCUCCUUGUGCUGGAACGGUUGGAUCACAACCUUCGUAUUCAUUGAUCAUGACGGUCUUGGCAGAAUUUCAAACAAGGAGUUUCACUUGCUUUGUCCAUUCAACUUUAACCAACAAUGCAUAUAGUUGAAGUGCUUCUUCUCCAUCUUGUAAUAUAAUACACGCGCACAUAGGGACUAGAAAAGAAAGGUAAUGGAUGGUCAACAAGUUGCAACAUUAAGCAAAUCAGUAAAAUGGCCAACAAAUAGAGCCGCAUGCCACAAGACUUACGAGAUCUUGGAUUGUUGUACCACUUGGCCAUCAGGUUUUCACUUGUUUGAAAAAGCCGCGAAACUUGUUGAGGAUCUCUUGAAUAUUGUAUCAUCGAUGGCUGAGUGACUUUGAAUUCCGCUGAUGGAUCACUUCCUUGCGGUAGGGAUCGUUCUGCUUUUGCUGGUGAAACCAAAUAUGCAUGCUUUGCCAAAACGCCGCACCCUAAAAUGUAUCGAUGGCCAACCAUACCACACACAACAAUUCAUCCUUCUUUUGAGUGAAAUUUAGCCCCCUCCGCUUCAUCUUGGGUCGGCACACGAUGAUCACUGCUCGUUUGGAUCCAUGUCUGACUUCUGGGUGUCCCGCUGGCUGUGAGUGUUCCUUGGCUAAAAGUCCUUCGCUUGUCCAUCUUCGUAGUCGUCCGCGUCGUGGAUAGUUUUCAUCAUUGCGUCAUCGUCUACCCCGUCCCACUUGGAUGAUGCAUUGCGGUAAAUAGUGAUUGGGUACCGACGGAUGAGCGAUCCACAUCCGGCAUCUGCGACUGGACAAGCCCCGCCAAAUGCGACUCCAUGAAGACAUAAUUGGUGUUGAGGUUAACAGUGAACGGGACUCGAUGGCUGGAGGUGAAGGAGGACGCGGACUGCUGCGGCGAUUGUUGCAUACCAAAGUGUUGGGAGGUGUAGUAGUAGGAUGGCUUCGGCUGAGACGAUCACACCGUCGAUUGUGCAGGCCACACGAGGGUGGCGACAAGCUAUGUCGGAUGAGGUCCUUUCUAACCGAUCGCCUACGCACUGCCAGACUUCUUUCUCGCCUUGUGGCGACAGACGUUGCCUUCCACGCCUGCGACCUUCCGGGCGGCCUCCAUGCUCGGGUCCUUUGGCUCCGGCAGGGCGAUGAUCAACGGUCCUCCAGCGGUACCUCUAUCACUCCGAUGGACCGCCUAACGGUAGGAGGGAGGCGAUGAUCGAGACAGAGACAUGGAAAAUGGAUGGCUUUCGCAUGAGAACAUUGAUGGGAAUGUCCAAAUUAGUGAGCUCGGGUGGAGUUUGUGGGUGUAUUGGGCGUGUCGAAGUCCGACGUGGCGGUCGUCUGGACGCCCGCAAAUCUCCCCUACGUUUGAUUCCAAUUUGUGAGAUUUCAAACGUCCGGAUUGGUCCAGACAAAUUUAAUGAUUGUUGGAUGGCAAAAAGAUGUCUGAACUGUUUGAUCCAAACAUUUAGGGGCAUUUUGGUGAUCCAUGUUGGAGUUGCCCUUAAGGAUGGCAAAUUUUUCUUGUGCCCCCAAUUGCAUGGGUGCAUGUGACAGCCGGUUGGUUGAAGGCAUCAUCGAUCAUGGUCCAUGCAUGGAUGACUAGAUGUCACUCGUGACACGCACAAAAGUUUCGCAGUGGACCCUUGCACAUGCAGCACAACACUAGGCAGGCACUAGGGGUCCAGCUCCACCUAGGAAGCACUUGUUUUAUCCAGAAUCCUGGUGGGCGCGGGUGACUGUUCUAUUCAAAAGCUAAUUGGAUAAACACCCGGCUUUUAGUUAAGUUUUUACAGGUUCCGUCCAGAGCUUAUAAAAGGCGCCCCCUCCUUCCCAUUCAGAGCACGGAGCUCCAGCACCAACCCACAAACCCACAGACACACCAACAACCUCAAGACAGAGGCCGGAAACUGAGGCGCAAAGGAAGGAAGCAGAGCAAAGUCUUCUCUCCGCCUCCGCGUCUUACGAGAGAAACAAGCCUUCGGUUCUUCAUUCCAACAGGAAAUGGAGAAGGCAGGACACGAGCAUGUGAUCGGCAUCCCAGUGAGCAGCACUGCCAUCGGCAUCGAGGAGCCCGAGUUCACCAGCGAUGGACCUACCAAUGUCCACGGUGAUGCAAAAUACUCGACGAGCACGCGUACCGGCGGCAAAUCGGGCAGGGCAGCGGACAAAUUCGCUCGAGGAAUCAGAGAACAUGGUAAGUCCUCCUUCUCCAGUCCGUCUGGAUGAAUCUUGUAGCCUUUCCUGUUCAUAUGUAGGUUCAUCAGUUGUGAAUUAGACACUGAACAUAGAUAUGUCCUUGUGCAGUGAGUCUCGGCCCAAAACUGUACGAGACCGUGAGGGGCAAGCUGUCGCUGGGCGCGAGAAUCCUCCAGGCCGGCGGCGUGGAGAAAGUCUUCCGGCGGUGGUUCUCCGUGGAGAAGGGCGAGAAGCUCCUCAACGCCUCGCAGUGCUACCUGUCCACCACCGCCGGCCCGAUCGCCGGGAUGCUCUUCGUAUCGUCGGAGAGGGUGGCCUUCCGCAGCGACCGGUCGCUGGCGCUGACCUCGCCCAAGGGCGACACGGUGCGGGUGCCGUACAAGGUGGCCGUCCCGCUGAGCAGGGUGAAGGCGGCCAAGCCGAGCGAGAACCAGCACCGGCCGGAGCAGAAGUACGUCCAGCUGGUGACCGACGACGGCUUCGAGUUCUGGUUCAUGGGCUUCGUCAGCUACCAGGCGUCCCUGCAGCACCUCGAGCAGGCCAUCGCGGAGUCGCACCUCUGACCCCAUUGAUUGAUCAAAGAAGCACGUACGCGCUGUGUGUGUUGUGUUGUGUGUGUGCUGGUCCGGUUAAUAUGUUGUGCAUAGGUAAGUUAGGGUUUCAUGGUGGAUUGCUUGUCGUUUUUGGCAUUGGAGCAAGUCCGGUAUACUUAAAUGGUAGGGGAAAUUUAAUUUAGGGCGUGAAAAAUUCUUCAUGUUGAAGAAGUACUGUAUGUGUAUGGUACAGUCGCCACGGCAAAACUGCCAUCAUAAACGUGUGGUAUGCACUAGUUCAGUGAGAAAAAUCGUGAAUUGUUUGUUCCACUUCUUUACAACUUGCAAGUGCGUCCAGCCCGUCUCUUUUUUUCAGCAUUUCUUUGAGGAAAUGUUCUCAAAACCCUGUAAAGCUAAAGCUCAGGCCGAGACAGGCUGUGUAUGCUUACAUAAAGAUGUGAAUUUAUAUUAUCAAGAGAAAUCAAACCUAACUUGAGCUGUCAAGUGGCCAUAAUUCAUAGAAACACCUGUAAUGUAUGCAACUGCCCUAACCUACGUUAUUUGUUGAACUGAAAAGUACAGAAGAAAAGAAACAGCACUGAGAGAACAAAAUUUGUGGAACAAUACCAAAGAACACCGGAUGUCUAUCGGUGACGCAUGGACCUGGAACCACAAGUGGUGACAGCUAGCUGCAUAUUCAGGGGUAUGUCCCAAAUAUAUUUCUAAGCAUCACACUUUUUUGUGAAUGCCAUUAAGUUAAUCCCAACGAAAUUAAUACUGCAAUAUAUGGCCUCGCCAGCUGAUUCCCAUCGAAUAUUCUGAUAACACAUGCAUGUGGCUAUUUUAUACUAUUCUCUUCAACCAUAUUUAAGAACAUAAUGAGUAAUUAAUAAGAGAAGGAUUCAUAUGGAAUGGGCACUGUAUGUCCACUGCGACUGUUUUCUUUUAACAAAGGCAAAUGCUUUGCCAUGUUUAUUUAAUAUAAGUAGGGUCUUAUAACAUGUACAAGAGAGAGAGAGAGAAAAAGGGUCAAACCGAAAGCAUACUCUUCCAAUAUCAACUCUCCUAAUUGCUUUGCUUCGGCCAUCAUACAAGCUUUUGGUAACAAGAACCAAACACUUUUGAAGGCUUGUGUUCUGCUCGUUCCAAAUUAUUUAUGAUACAACAACAUAAGGUUGUGACGGGCCAUGCUGUCGAGGCAACCUUCAACUAGUGAUGCAAGGAGACCACAUACAACAAGUUUAGACAUAUGUCAUAUUGUUAGCCAAGAUUUUGCACCCCCGGCGACUCCGAGCUUGACAAGAUAAGCGGCGUCGCAGCGUAAGGAUCCUUUCGGCAUUGACAUGCCUUACAGUUCCUUGCCUUCUGCUUUGGUCAAAACUUAAUUUAGGCAGGCCCAUCUAGCCUCAUGGGUUGAUAACUUUUCACACGAUGAGGAUUCCCCACGGUCGGUAUUUUACAUUCCAAAAAUGCUAGACCUACGUAAUCUAACUACGUAAACUUAUGUUCCUUCCAUCCUAAACUAAUUAGGUCCCCCUGAUUUUCAGUGGGUAGGAGUGGGCAUGUUUUCUCUCCCAACCAAAUCUGACCACCUCAACUUUUUCGUAGGUUACGUAGAAAAAAUUAUGUAGAUGCAGCAAAGCUCUUUACAUGCCCAUGGAGGACCUUAUAUAGCCUAGGGGUCCUUCACAAAUGACCAAGGCUACCCUUGAGGAGACGAGGUAGGAGGGUAGAACUAUAGAUAAUUUCCCGUCCUUUGAUUCAUGUGCCUCUAGUCUAGUUAGGAGGUGGGUUGUAGCCCACUAAGUAGAGAAUCCCUAUACUAUUUGAAGGCCUUCUUGAUUGGGCUCGGGCUCUUUGCUACUUUGUAAUGUGGUCUUCUUUCUUUAACUUGUUGACCAUAAAUGUUUGCUUGGACUUCCAUUGACCAAGGUGGCUUGCUAGGACCCACGACAGCUUGCUUGGACUAUUUGUUCACCUCAUUGACUUGCGUGGAAUAUCCUUCAAUUUUGUUGACUACCGAUGUGGCAUGCCAUGUAGGAUAGGGGGUGGGACCUUGAGUAGGGUUGAACCCAUUACUACAACAGGACCAAAAGGCCAUUCUUGCACCUGAACUUAACAUUGUUCUCUACCCCACCCGGAGAGUGAAGAUAGAAAACCGUCUAGAUAUCAGAUUUAUUUUGUGAUAAAGGGCGUCUCUAUUAACUCAUCAUAUAACAUCAAGAGAUAAAAUAAUAAUGAGCAACAUUCGUCCUCUGUAUAACUUGGAUGACAAGCCCAAUGACAUCGAUACGCCCAUACAAGACUAAUAUGUAGCCCAACUCUCUAGCUCCAAAACCCACAUAUUUUGCAACAGGUUUAGGUUGCUUCAACGCAGUACGGUGUUCAGUCCCGUGGGAAUACCUCUUGCAAACCACACAAUAGACAUUACCUUUCAAGUCUUUAUUCCCAUGUCGAAUCCCUUUGCACUUGCCACAUAUUUGAUCACUCAUUCUGCCAUAUUUGCUCUCUCCUUUGUGGGCAAACUCUCUGGUGGACACCUCUUUGUCAUUUAAGGGCACAAAAAAUACAUUCAUUUUAGGAACAAUAGACAUGAGAUACUAUUUGUGCCAUAUGUUCACUUGGCAUAAAACCCAUCAGCCUCAUUCCCAAGCCAACAUGCACCAACUGAGGGAAAUUAUGAAUUGGUAAGGAAGAAAAUUGUACUCGCGACUGCUGCAAACUCCUCAUCUAAGCUACUCCACCAAUUUUUUGAUUAGAAGGGCUUGGAUUUUCCCACUUGUACCCCUUGUUGUGCUCCAGACACAUUGGUUAGGCAUAAAGGGGUUGCUACCAAACGUCCAAACCAACCUUGCAAUCUUCCAUUACUUUGACCCCGAUAGCCUGUCUGAGUAGGGGAAACCUACACCUCUAUUCAACCGAAAGACAUGUGCACCACUACUACCAAUAUUGUUCCCAUAGAAACCAUCUCUAAAUCCUCCUUCUCCAUCUUUCCCAUUAUAUUGAUCCUAGUUUCUGCUAUAUUGUCUGCCAUAAUUCUUCCUGCCCUGCCAAGAACGUGUUCUGACUGGAAUUACUACAUCACCUUGUCAUCCCUUGUUAGGCCUAGAUUGCCAUUUUCCUUGUCUUCCUGCCAUCAGAUCACCUCUAGUCUCUUCCCGCUCUUCCUCACAAAAACUAAAAGACCUACCCGCCACAGCCUCCUCUCUUGGGGUGGAGAGGGGACAGAAAUCAAGAUGAACUAGGGCGGGAAUGGGGGUGGGUAUAUCAAGAUACUCCCUCCGUAACUUAAUAUAAGACGUAUUUUGACACUGUCAUGGUGUCAGAGGGAGUAGCAGAUAAAGCUCUUUGUGUUUAAAGUUUCUCUCAAGAGCAACUCAACCCAGAAAUUAAGUGUGACUUGCUCUCCUCCUACCAUGGCUCAAAACAUACCAAGUUUAUUAAGAUUCAUGCACUCACGUGUUAGUUUAGAAAUCUAUGUAGCACAUCAAAAGGUCGUUGGUAUGAAUUCUGGGUUAGCAUUUGAUCGACCUAAUAAAACACACUGAAAAAUAUUCAUACGUUUACAUCUGCAUCGUAGGUGCAGGAGUAUUAUUGGGGGUAGGCGCAGCACAUCACCUUUUUUCCUUUCGAUAAAACGCAGGACAUCACUGUUACCACUACUAGUAGAAGGCCCGUGCGUUGCCACGGGCAUUUCCGUAUUUUUGUUGGUUGCAUAUAUAAAUAUAAUGCAUGUCAAAUUUAUGCGUGUAUAGAAAAGAUGACCAAUACAAUCAGAAAAUAAAUAAAAUUUACUUCACUUGCAAUGUAUAAGUUGACAAAAAUUACAAUAUGGCGAUUUAUACAUAGGGAGCAAUGAUUCAACAAAUUAUCUGUUACAAACUAAAAUCUACUUGAUGCAUUUAAGAUAUCCCCGUAUGACGUUAGUAAUGGUUGUCUUUAGCUUCAUUUGCAUGGUUCUAGCACGUAAGGUUAUGAUAAUUCAAUAUAUGAUUAUGAUAAUUUACACACAAUUGUAGAUCCAUAAAGUGUAUAGGAGGGUCUAGAACCAAGAAGACCUCAUCGCAUCCAAGCAUGCAUAUGGCCAUGUUGAAACAAAUCCAAAGAGUGCUCCCUGUUAAGUAGGGUUUAGGGUUAGGCCUACCAAUUGUAGGGUUUAGGGUUAGGCCUACCUAUUGUAGGGUUUAGGGUUUAGUAUAUCAUCAAAAGAAAUCAAAAAAUUGCUUUAGUAUAUCAUCCACACGAUUAACAUGCCUACAUGUAGGAGUGUACUAAUAAAGAUUUUUUUUAUCAAUUUUGCUUUCUCAAGAGUUCAUGUAACAUAAUAAGUUUGUGUUGAUGAAUAUAUAAACUUAAUUUUUGAGUUUGGCAAGUGUUUACCCAUCAGUUUGCAUUUGAUUUAUGAAUCUAUUUUACACGGACCAGUAUGUAACAUUGAGAUCACUUGUUGGUGAUUAUUCUCAAGAAAUUACUUGGGGCAUGUGAUAUUUUCAUUAAAUAAAAAAGUAUGUGGCAACUCUCACAGCAAAAAACCACUUUUCCCUUACACAUACACACAAUAAAAACAACUAUACCUUUAUUCCAAAAAACCAAAAGCACAUUUCUCGACAUUCAUUUUGUUCCUUAGCAAUUUCCCCCGACCCACGCGUUGCCUAGCUCUGGCGGCUCAAGGGAAACCUAACCGUGCCGUCGUCCCUUCCCCUCGCUGGCUCCUCCCUUGACCGCUACCGCGAGACCAUGUCGCAGUGGCGGCGAACCCCAUUCCCACAGGGGAUGGGGAUCGCCGGUCGUCCUUGCGCGGCGGAGCAUGUCUGUCGGGGCAGCAGGCCUGGGCUAGUGAUGGGGGCACUCUACGGCGUGGCGGCGGUGCAUUGCACGCCUGCUUGCAGUGGUUACGAUGCGGUGGCAGGGAUUCAUCUCGCGCAUUGGUGCUGUUCACGGCAGGGGAGGCGUCGUCCCUUCCCAAUAUGUGUGGCGUGAGCUUUGGCUGCGCAUUUGCCCGUCCCUGCGACGCGAUUCCGGUGGCUGGGGGCUUGGGUUGAAGCUCUGCUAGGUUUGCGUCAGUGGUGACCGCUGCUUCUGUUGGCGGCUCGCCCGCUUGGUGCGAUUGUGUGGCAGCCCACCCUCCUGGCUCUCUGGUAUUGUGCGUCGCGUCGCCUUCAGUUUUCUUCAGUGUCUUGGCUCGGGAGACUGCCAAAACGGUCCGUCCUCGGGCGGAUCUAGCUCGCUAGUUCUUUCCGACUGGCGGCGAGGAUUGUGGUAGCUCCUACAUGGUCAGGGUGUGGUGGCUCCAUUGAGGUGUGUGGUCCAUCGGAGCUGUUGUGCGUGGGGGUGUGGGUUUGGGUGGUGCUCCGGGCGAAAGCUUGUCGGGCUCUUGCUGGCUGACGGCAUCGGCGUCUGUGGACGUCGUUUCAUGUCGUUGGAGACGCCACUGUGGAUUCCACCCUUUUCGCACCCUUGGAUCCAGUUCAUUGGGCAAAAGCCUAUGGCCUGGUCAGGUCGGACGAUGAUGUCGGCAUCACCGCUUCCCUCUUUGGGUCGUCGCCUGGAAGAACUUUGGAUCCCGUUUGUGCGCUCCAUGGGCUGGACGUUCGCCAUUACGGUCGGCAGGUGCCCGUUCAACAAUGUUUUUGAUCUGCGAGGCUUCUUUUCUGUGGCAAUGAUGGUGGCUUCGGCCAGAGAUGGCUUGCUGAUGGUCUUGGUAGUUGGUCUCUUCCGGUGUGUUCGAGGGGUCGCCGUGCCUUGCUUUGUCUUCCUAAAGUCGGAGCUGCUGAGGAGGGGCCAUUGCGGUGAAGAUGACACGAGACAGGUGGUCGGCUCUGUGGCUGGCUCGACGCAAACCCAACGCUUUUCUCCCCCAAUGCUCGUCGACAAAGUCGGAGCUGAUUGGUCGCCGGCACGUGUGGGUGACUGUUUGGCAUCAACCGCCGCAAACCUUGACGCUUGUUUGCGGUGAGGGCUUCUUUGGUGGUCGUCGAUGGUGGAGUUGGAGUCACCCUCAGGGAGGGGUGAUGACGGUGAUGUUGAGCUGCAACCUCGACAACGCUUUUCUCCUCGGUGACGUGUGUAUGUUCUUGUGCGAGUUGCCGGGUCGCCUCGUGUGGCUUGUUUUUGUGGGCGUGAUAUGUGACGGUUUAAAUCCUUUUUUGUUAAUUAAGCAGGUAAUUCUCUUUGACCUUUUUAAUGAAUCGGACCUAAGGACCGCGUUAAAAAAACAUGCUCCUUUUCUUCUUAUUAUCUUGGAAAAAAAUAUCACUCUCUCACCGCACGGUCACGACACAAGCCUUCACUCUCUCCCUGCAAGGCAGCGGUGCUGCCAUCUCUCCUUAUCUCCCCGCCACGGCGUGGCCGCCGCCAUAUCUCCCCUCAUGGCUACUCCCAGCUGCCUCCCCUCCAUGGCGUGUCAAUCAACCCACACCCUUCUCUCACCGCCGCCUCCCAUCCCCCAUGGCGUCGCUCAUCCCAUCCACUCCCCGCCACGGCGUUGCCAACACAUCUGGCACGGCGAGCAGCGAGAUCCGACCGGGAGGUGGAGAAGGCCUCGUUGUUAUCCGUUCGCAGAAGUCCACGUAGCUGGCCUGUCCGGAUUUGGGCAAGAUGACCUCAGGCACGAGGUGUGGCUCGACAAGUUGGAGGGAUGGCCCCCUGGUUCUCAGGCCCGGUCUUCUAGUUCAGCCGAGACGCACCGUCCAUCUCCAUAGCGGGGACAUCCCAGGCAGCAGCGGAGUAGCCUCCAAGGAAAGCCGGACCAAGCGUGAGCACGACAAGUAACUCGAGGCGCUGCACCGGUGACCAGUGAGUGUCCCCUCCCAAUCCCAUCCCCCCCUCUGUAACUAUAAGGGUUUCGUUCUGAUUCAUGUUGGUGAACGGGAAGUACAUUUGCUCUUGCACAUUUGGUCAGAUAAAUGUGAAGAUUUUUCUGGUUUACAUGCAUUAUCUGCUACCAGUUCGAGCAUAUACACAGUAUGACAUCCUAGCCCAAGAAUCUAGUUCAAGUGAAGUUGUAAUCUUAAAGAAUUGUACUUGGUAUUACAAUAACUGAGUGUCUUACUCAAUUCCUUGAUCGAAUUUGAAAUUUUGGUGUGUCUCAGAAUGAUGCUCCUUCUGAUGGACUGAAUGAUUUUACGGAAUUUAUUCUCAUGUGUGUGCAGUGGGAGUCUUGUACACGAAGAAGUACUACAAAUUGGCCAAGCACCAGUAUUGGAUGCGUCAAAUCUCGGACUGAUCAAACCCAACAGCCUCGUUCGGUUCAGGGGGAUGGUUCAGGACAUGCUCGGGGCGAGUUCUAUGCCGGCUCUUUAGAGGUACUGAAAUGAUUUUAUUGAUAGGCUGUGGUGAAGCUACAGCUCAUGCUUCUUAUGCUCAUUUGUAAAAAACAUUGUUUGUGAAGGAUGUGCUACCUGGAGGACAAAAAAGUUCACAGACUUCUCACCAUUCUCGAUGAUGUACCCAUGUGAUUCGCAUCUCUGGGAGCACCAUCUCUGCCAUUGCGUGCCUGUAUGUUACUACAUGCCUGAGCACUUGUUUUUUUCACUUUCUUACCAUUAGUGUAGUUCACCUGGAACUUAUGAAAAUAACUUCUUUAAGGUGCAUAGGCAGAAUUCUUGGAUACUGGAGUCUCCCCCUGGACCUGUCUUUCGCCAAAUGGCAAACUGGUUGACACCUGANNNNNNNNNNNNNNNNNNNNNNNNNNNNNNNNNNNNNNNNNNNNNNNNNNNNNNNNNNNNNNNNNNNNNNNNNNNNNNNNNNNNNNNNNNNNNNNNNNNNNNNNNNNNNNNNNNNNNNNNNNNNNNNNNNNNNNNNNNNNNNNNNNNNNNNNNNNNNNNNNNNNNNNNNNNNNNNNNNNNNNNNNNNNNNNNNNNNNNNNNNNNNNNNNNNNNNNNNNNNNNNNNNNNNNNNNNNNNNNNNNNNNNNNNNNNNNNNNNNNNNNNNNNNNNNNNNNNNNNNNNNNNNNNNNNNNNNNNNNNNNNNNNNNNNNNNNNNNNNNNNNNNNNNNNNNNNNNNNNNNNNNNNNNNNNNNNNNNNNNNNNNNNNNNNNNNNNNNNNNNNNUUUGUUACAAUAAUGAUUCUCAACAGUUUUGAUGUCCACUAACCAUCAUUGUCAUCUAAUGCAUUGCUUGCUAUAGGUUUCAUUGUCAUCUAAUCAUUCUCAAUAGUUUUUUUCACUUUCAUGCAGUAAGAAACCAGCAAGAACCGAACUUAGUUUUCUACCAUUGUGAAGGGCAAAGUUUAGGAAGCAACUUAAUCUUUAAGCUCUCUAUUUUUUCAUUCCCCCAUAUGAAAUUGUCUCAUAAUCUAGUUGUAUUUUUUCCUGGAUGCUAUGCUUUCAUCGUAGGCCUUUUAUUCUUUAGGUAAAUUGGAGCUUUAUCAAAUUAUGUAUAUAACGGGUGAUCUUAUCGGAAACAUAAUUUGAGAACUACUUCAUGUUUUUAGUUGCUGUUUUUUAGGGACAAUUAUUGAACGGUUUGUGCAUAAAUAUCAGACCAUCCAGCCUAACGCAGUGAAGUCACUGCCCUAUUAGGAGUAGGAAAAAAAUCAGUUCUUCGACCACACAACUGAAGCCUGAUUGUACUUCAGUUUACCAUCAAAUGGCCAGUUAGUAAGGUCUAGUAAGCAAUCUAGGCAGACACAUACAAAGUUAACAUCAAGUGGUUGAGUUAGCAAGAUCUAGCAAGCAAUCUAGACACGUGACCUACAUGGGAAAGAAGAAGACACGGAAGGAAAAGAAAGGCAGUGAGAACCUUUACCUAGACAAUUCAGUUCGUUUGCCAAGCCAUCGUUGGCUGGGCCAACCUUCGUCUUUCUCCUCCGAGCCAGCACCAAGAUGCCCAUCUCAUCCUGGCCGAGGAACCGCGACCCCGGCAGCUCGCCACUGGCACCAAAACAGCAUCUAUCCGUCCUGCCAGCGCCUGUCCCGACCAUGUAGGCUGCAAGGGGCCUGACAAAUAAUUUUGUUCCACAAAUUCUUGUGUAAACGAACAACACUGAACAAGGAUCCCUACAAUAGUGUUCCUAGAUACCAAAAAUGUUAUGCUAAACAUGCUACUGAUUGUGCGAAACUCAAAUACAAUGCUUACCAACCAAUCAAUAUGCCAAAGUAGUAUUUUUUGCAUUCCUUCAGGCCAACACAAAUUUAGCCCAGGUUUGAAGCCAUAGUGUAGUGUCUGAGUAAACCUUGUUGUAAUAUAAAAAGUGACUACACAAAUGUGUUCUGCACAGUGGGAUGUUGGUGCAUCUGUUGCAUCGUUGAAGUGGUCGGUGUACUGACUACUGAGUAGUGCCCAGGUUCUGUAGCUAGUCAACACCAAUCAUGAGGAACAUAUAACUUCAUGAUCCUCAUGUACAUCAGAUAACUUUAUCAACGGGCAUAUCUAGUCAUCAUUUAAGGACAGAAUCAAGAAAGCAGAGGCAAAUGCAAGGAGAGAAUAAAACCAUUACGUCAUAUUACUGGUCGAAUAUAACUGAAGCGUAAUCUAUUGUCGGGGAUAGCUAGCUCCCAGUAAGCAAAGAUGAUAUCAGUUGAAACAAUAACUGCUGCUGAAAUAACAUGUUUUCAUGACCAAUCUAAUUUGCUUGUAACAAAAAAAUCUAUGUCUUAUCUUAUAUAAGAAGUAAAUCUACACCAGCAACCAACAGAACAGGGGAAGAAUGGAAAUUUCGUAGGAGAAAUUGUGUUGGUCAUUGCUAUAGCUGCAAGUUGAUGAACUAAAAUAUUCUCCAACUCAAGGGAGGCACCACCGUACAUGUAAGCUAUAUAGUAACUAUCUUCUCUGAACGGGCCGUCGUCAUUUAUCGUUUACACCAUUUUCUAGUUGUUGUUACAUUUAAGAAAAACCAAACUAAUACUGAAAACACGUAUGAUAUUUUAAAAAAUAACACAUAUGAAAUUAUGAACUAAUUUAGAACAUUUUUUCAUAAGAAAAGGUAAAAUAGAGUCAUAGGCUAUCAUAUUGUUGCAAGAACACUUUCUGGAAAUCAAAAUGAAAUGAAAUAAUCAUACAUCAGUCUCCGCAAGUCUCACAUAGACCAUCUCAUAUAUGCCAAUUUCAUGUCAAAUAAUGAGAUCAUCAUCAAGAUAUAUCUUCCUCAUUACAGUGCAAAGUAAUAGCCUACCCCAACUUGUUUGGGACUAAAGGCUUUGUUGUUGUUGUAUUACAGUGCAAGGUAAUCACAAAUGGCUGUAAAUCAAUAGUAAUUAUGUAUAAGCAUGCAUGAGAUCAAUACUCAGGCCGUAGUGGAAAUUAGUGGUAAAUCGAUAAACAAAAUCUGUAUACGCUUGAGAGAAAAUUAGAAGUGCAUCUAACCAUAGCAUGUGCAGGUCACAUACCAAUAAUAGAAUAGUUGGCGUCGGGAAAAUCCACCAGAUCUUUAAUCAACGGAAAGAAAGCGACCCUCAUCCUCUAGUUGUCUGUCAUCCUAUAACCAGCACUCCAUCGUGAAUAUCAAUGCUUCCUUUCAUUUCCCAAACCUUCUUCUUUCACAUUUUCUUGUAAUGAUUCCUUUGAACAAAUAUCUAACCACACAUGCUUGUGCCAGUGCUGCUCGCAUCAUGUUCUCCUGGAAUCUAAUAUGUAGGUCUAAAUGUUCCAUUACCAAAAAAACUGGACAUUGAAGAUUUGCAUUACCAGUAGCUUACUUAUUACUGACAUUCAUGUGGGAUUGGAAGAAAAUUCAAUUUGCCUUUAUUUUAGAAAAGGUUACCUAAAUAGUCCUAGGAGACGCAGCGGCCACAGUCCAGGACGUAGCGUCUAUGUGUACUGGGCCUUUGGUGCACGACCGCGCGUGUCGGUUGGGGCCUCACAUGCUACCCGACACAGUCCUGCACUAACAAACUUUUGAUGUUUCCCUCCUCCAAGGUUGUGAACAUGAGACAAAUUUUUUUUGUCUUCGACCACUAAUCAAGUUUAGAACUGGUCCAACAAUUUCGUGAGAUCUGAAAGAAAAAGACAUGAUGCCACAUGGAAAUAUCAUGGCCACCGAAGUGUAGCACUUAUGAGUUCAUGAAACCACUUUCGUGAAGGAAAAGAAGAAGAAUACUGCUGGCAGUACAUGAAGUAGCAAGCAUAAUUCAAACAAAUAGAGUCAUGCUUAGAAUUAGGGAGCAAAGAUGAUUUCAAGAAUAAAAGCAAAAAUUAACUCAGCAGUGCUCACAUUAGUGGUGUUGUACCGCAAGAUGGAUGCACUGCGGAAAGGGAUAGGUGCAUCCAGCGCCAGCUAGAGGCGGACGGAAGUGAAAGGCACCAUGGCAUCAAAACAAGGGCUGAGAGGACAAGCGCAUGCCUCCGCCUCAUCGCUGAUCUUAGGCAUCCCUGAUUUCUCCAUUACGCAACCAGGGAUAAGUUCUGUCAAAUUACAAAUCACUAUGGCUGGGAGCUGGUGUCACCAUGGCUUGUCCAAAUCAAGCACUUAGUUCUUCUGGAUUGGAAAGACAACAAACUGAAUAAUUAGUGCAGAAUCACCCUGCAAAUCAAACAUGUUUCUUGUUUCUUCGUGCAACAUAAGCCCUGCAAAUCAAACAUGUCAUCAGCUAACUGAACAAUUUCCACAAGCACUCUCCAUGCCCUACAAAUCAAACAUGUCAUCACAUAGAUUAGAACAAAAUUUGGACUUGUUAUUUUUGACACUGUAAUACAUUUAAUCAAGUGAUUUCUAGAUAAAUGUGGAGUUAGGAAACAAAAACUUGACAGUGAUUUAGGAAAUUGCAAAACAUUUGUGCAGCAAUAUUAACAACAAUUCUGGUCCUUUUAGUAUCUCCAUACACACAAAAACGUGACAACACUAUAGACGCUUCAUGUGCAAUGGAGAUAGACAAAUUGCCUCCUUUCAUAAAGGUCCAUUAUGGAUGAGAAAAUUUAAAUGGAAGAAAUUGAGGUUUUUGAGCUUAGAAAACAUGAUAAGGAAGCAUUCGCAUAAAUAUUUGCAGUAGAAAUCAUGUAUUUGAAUACCAAUAACUGGUAAUGGUUCCACAACAGAUGUCCACUUGCAACAUUACUACUCUAGCUGUCCGACACAUAACCCGGGAGGGAAUAUAACUCUAUUGUAGCAUCUACCACAUUAUAUACAGGUGCAAUCUGCAAAAACCUAGUGAGUAACCGUGAUUAUUUUAGGUCUGCCAAACCAAAUGCAACCAAGAAAAAAUACAUUGAUGAGAUGAAUGGCUGCUUACUUCUCCCCGGGUUUAGAGUGUAUUCCUUUUAGCAUUCUUUAGACUUCUCUGGUAGCUGGAAUAGCAAGAGAGAAUUAUUAGGUAGUAACUUCUUUGAAUUUACAUAGCAAGGUCGCUGCAUUGGAACUACCAAUAAGACUGGAACUUCAACAUGCACAAAGCUAUGAUUAGGUUUAAGAAGCAAUAGAGCUUCAAAUAUGACAAUAUUUCUUAAAAAAGUAAUAAUUAUCACAAAAUAUUUCACCUCUAUGUUCCGAUCCCCCCACAUUCUUCCAUCAAAACCCAACAUUCAAUAGGAUGCCAGUAAAGAUAAACCAUAUGGGAGACAUAACAUGUGCAGCCACACAAAAACUUUAAGAAGUGCAACCUGUCGAAAACAAAACCCAUACAAACAUAUUUGCACUGGUAAGGAGGUAUAUAAGUGUGAGAGUCAAAUGUCACAACUUGGUAGCUGUGAAAAUUCAUUUGCAAACCAUUUCGUUUGUGGCUAUGGAGGUCGUGAUGGUCUAGCAUAACCACCCCAUACAAAUGUUGCCCUCCUAACUGAUGGAUAGUAAUUUCCGAACAUGUGGUGUAGCAUGAAUCUAGUAGUAUACGCGCGCUUUGCCACGCCGUUUUGUUUCUAACGUUCAUAGGUUUGCGAGGUGUGGUAAAAAUAGUUUGACCUUUGUAAUUUGGCUCAUGUACAGUAUCUCCCAUGAUAUACCUAAGUGGAUGUGAGGAACAAUAUAGAUCGUGCUAUUCAAUUGACAAAUAAAGAUACAUACAAAAAAAAGAUAAGCUAUGCAAAAUAAGAUAAAAUGGUUCUCAUCUAACCUCAAAUAAUGCCUGCUCAAAUGCAACAUUAAUCAGCUUAUUCUGAAAAUGUAAAUACAUGAAGUCAAGACAACUUGAAUCACCAAUGGUACUAAAAAGAUUUACAGGAAGUAAAGAAACAUCGGAUAAGCAUGCGGCCGUCCUAAAAUUUUCUGGAAAAUGAGUCAGAUCAGAUUCGUGAGCAACAUACAACAGAAAUCAAACCUGCAUAUUUUGUUCCUCAUACUGAGAUACAUUUUGGUUUCAACAAGUGCUCAAUGGGAAAACAAACUCUUUAUACUCCAUUGAUGUACUACAAUAGCAUUUAAGAAAAUUAGAAUUAUCACAAGUUAUCAUUUAUAGGAGAAGCGACAGUCAUAUAUCUCCAAAAUCACUGAACAACAAGAUUUGGUCACAAGCAGCUGCAAAAUCAUUUAUAGGAGAAGCAGUACAUCAUAUUGCUAUGAAAUAUCUCCAAAGUCACCCACCAUCACUUCAGGUUGAAUAGCAUUAUCUAAGGUCUAUUAUAGGCAGAAUAAUCAUGAGGGGCACAUGAAGGAAGUAAAUUUCUUACAUGAACAACAGUCAGCUGGUCCGCGUCUAAUGCAAGUCAGUGCAGCCUCUAAUCAACAUGCUUGAGCGAACAUGUUGAGCAAACAUACUGUGGAGCACAUAUAUUCAUGUCUAGCAAAAAAAAGGUCGAUUAUAGAUUAAUCAAGGGUAGUAGUUCAAAGUAGCAUCAGACAAACCCGUAUAUGUGGAAUACUUAAUCUUAUCUAGCUCAUCAUCCUCACCCUUUGUUCCAUAAUGUGCCACUGCAGCAGCAGUAGCAGCUUAACACAAAUUAGGAGUGAACAGCCAACCAAUCAAUCUGCAACAUGAGGGAGAGGCUUGAGACGGAAGAGCCAUGGCGGCAGUGCCAGGUUCUCUCCGUCCGCAAGACAAAGAGGACUAUCAGUAUGCUUAUCAGCCGCACCGUCCGUCCACGACUGCGCCGCUGGACGGCACCGACCCAUGGCUUGAGGCCAGCAUUACCCUGCUUUUCUGCAACAUAAAACCAUCUACCGGAGUAACAGGCGCUGACAGACAACAGCCCGCUCAAGAAAUUAAAGGAGGAAAGAAGAAGGGCAAACCUAAAAGUAACGAAGAAGGAAGACCAAGCAGGGGGAGUCGACCGCACCGAGACGGGCAGGGUUGUCGAUGCAGGUGAGGGCGAGGGCGGGGUCGAGGGGCUCCACGAACUCCUCAACGCAGCUGACGCCGGCAUCGAUGCGCGGGCGGCGCUUGAGCGUGAGGACGGCGCGGGAGGGGUCGCGGUCGUCGGUGCCGUAGAGGCGGACGUCCCGCUGGGCGGCGGUGGCGGCGGCGGCGGCGGCGAGGGGCCGCGCGGGGGCGUCGGUGCGGAGCAGGCGGGGCGCGAGGAAGGAGGAGAGGCUGGAAGGGGCUUGAUCUCGAUCUCCAUGGGGUUGGGGUUGCGGCUAGGGCUGGAAGGGGCGGGCGGCGGCGUCUAGGGAUCGAGAGGAGCGGACGAAAAAACCUCCGAAAAAAAACCUACGAAAAAAAAUCAGUGGAGGUGGGACGAAAAAAAACCGAACGAAAGUGGCGGGACGAAAAAAAAUUUGGAAGCGAGACUACCAACUGCUCCAUUAGGAGUAGAGAUUUCGCUGUGCCAUUUUCCAUCUUUUCCGAAGGACGGAACUGGUCGGCCUGAAACCGAUCUCGUCUCGUGAUCUCCCUUUCCCUCGCCGCGACAUCUCCGCUUCGGCUUCGACACGUAGUCCGCGGCGCAGAUACGCUGAGACGGCGGCGAGCCCCACCCGAAAGCCAAGAUCUGCCUCCGACGAGUAGAGUAGGUAGCUGCGGGCUCUCCAUGUGACAAGACAACGCGGCCGGCCGACGUCGCGCGCGCGCGCGCGCAUUCAUUCGCGCCCAACAAACCAUGAACCAAGCCUCGCAGAUUCGGGGACGGUGCAGCGGCCGACCUCGCAACGCCCGUGUGGUUGCCGGUUCAAAUCCGGGGGACAGAGACGGUAUGGCGCCCAUGCCGGCCGCGCUUGCCGGUGCACCGCUACCGGGUGGACACGCACGCACUGCGCCCCGGGCCGACGGUUACAUGCGAUGUUAGGUGAGGCUGCAGGCAUGCUGACUCGGUGCUGCGUGGGGUCUGACUCCGAACAGGACGUGUAGAUUUGUGGGUAGGGUAGCACGAGCGGAAACUUCGAUGGGUGGGCAAGCUCGGCUUGGAAGAGUACCAACUGCCAAACUGUUGUUAGCGGUGUUCUGGUCGAUUUUCAGUGAAAUGGCUGUGAGUGAGUCAUGUUCGCCCUGGUUCCACGUCGAUGAAUCGAUGGAUCAUGGUUAGAGGUCCAUUGCGGCAGCGAUCUCGGGAACAAACUCUUGCCGCCCUUGCGUUGGACCGUCAACAUUACAAACCUAGAUGAUGUGUACACAUAUAUGGUCCACGUGCAUGCACAUAUAUGGUCUACAUGCAUGCAUGUUACUGAUAUUAUGAUACAGUAGUAUACUUUUUUUUUUGCGGGAAGAUACAGUAGUAUACUGUCUGAGUGCAGUGCACGAGACGAAAGUCAUCUACACAGGCAUGGCAUCGAUCCCUACAAGAAAACUUAUGCAUCCUACUGGUCCUUGCACUGCGCAUCGAUGGGGUCCGUUGUUGCCCCCGACACGGCGCCACCCGCCUUUACCCGUAAUCCGGUGGGAGCGAGAAUGUGCAGGCACAUGGGGCGCUUCCUGGAAAGCGGCAGAGAACCCACCGCACGUAGCCAUCUCGCCAUGCCAUGCCCCGAUCCCAUAGAGAAAUCUCGAAUCGCGCUUUCGAGCAAAUGAAUAUACUGCACCUGGCCCUCCCAUGGAAAUGGAAAGGGGGCAAGGGCCAAGGGCCGCUAAAGCUCCGUCUCUAGCUAGGUUGGCCAGGCCGAAUUAGCCAAGGAAUGACGCGGCCAGCUCCACACACGAACGUGGACGACCGCGCGCGCCUUUCUGAUCCGCCGGUGACUCGGCCGGCCCGGCUGCUGACUCCGCAUGUCCGCUGCCUUUGCCAAAAGGAUCCACCACCGCGCGCGGCCGCCUAUAAAAGCCCGGCCACCGCAGCGGCACUCUGGUACCAAUCCCCGAUACCUUACUCGCUAAGUUAAGCCACCACCACCAGCGCAGCGCAACGCACGCCGGACCUAGUUGAUCGCUCGUUCUUCGUCGAGCUUCCUGCAGCAGCCAGCCAAGAUGAAGUCGAGCAGCGGCGGCCAUGUCGUGGGAGUCCCGGUGACCUCCAAGGCGUAUGGGAUUGAGGAGAAGGCGCCGUCGGCCAGGGACGGCCAGUCGUUCAGGAAGGCCGACGGCGACCACCUUGCUGUCUCCUUGACGAAUCCUAGCCCCUACACUUCUUUCGGCUACAAGCACAGUAGGUCCCGAUCAUUCAUGCAUGCAUGGCCAUAUUUUGCCAUCGAACUUCUGACGCAUGCAUGCAAGAGCAAAGAUGUUGAGGCUUAUGCUAGUGUGUUGAUUCUGCAGGCAGCAAAGGUCAGGUUGUCCACUGGGUGAGCAAGCUGAGCAGAAGGGCGCAAGGCUUCCGUGAGCAUGGUGAGUAGCACGCACUCGAUCGUGCAUGCAUGUUUCUUCUGUAAUUCAAUGGCUGUUAAAUGUUGGUGCGUGAAAGGUGCUUGUGUUCUGACCAACAUUGUUCACCGUAUGCAGUGACCCUGGGUCCCAAGAUAUCGGAGACCGUGAAGGGGAAGCUGAGCCUGGGGGCCAAGAUCCUGCAGGCCGGCGGGAUCGAGCGCGUGUUCCGGAAGGCGUUCACGGCCGAGAAGGGCGAGCGGCUGGUGAAGGCGCUGCAGUGCUACCUCUACACCACCGGCGGCCCCAUCGCCGGGAUGCUCUUCGUCUCCACCAAGAGGAUCGCCUUCCGCAGCGACCGGCCCGUCACCGUCACCUCCCCCAGGGGCGACGUGGCGCGCGUCUCCUACAAGGUGGUCGUCCCGCUCAAGCGGAUCGACAAGGUGCGGCCGAGCGAGAACGUCGACCGGCCGGAGGAGAAGUACAUCCACGUCGCCACCGUCGACGGCUUCGAGUUCUGGUUCAUGGGCUUCGUCAGCUACCAGAGGUCCUGCAAGUACAUGCAGCAGGUCAUCGGCGGUGCCGAGCUGCAAUGACUAGCCGAGCGGAGGAAGACGCGAGGCCCGCCGUUUGUUCCGUCGGCACGAUGAGAAGUGGAGUUGCGGGCUGCCGCUGCUGCUGCGCCAUCUUUUGCUGUGGAGCAGCAGGAGCAGCCCUGGCUGGAAUUGCUCGAUCUUAUUUCGGAUCGGAGCAACUUGGAUCCUUCCGCGUACGAUUUGGAUUGGCUUAUGUUUUUCCAAGCGAUUGCUUAAUUUGUACUAGGAUGGACAAAGAAAUUAACCGUGCUGCAUGUGAAUGAAUGGGAAGGCAGUUGUUCAAAAUUAUUGUCCUUAUGCAUGAUCUUAACUCUUAAGCUUCCAUAUAUCGAAUUUGCGAAAAUAUGAGACGAAUACAAUUGAACCAACUAGUAUCAGGCCGCUUCUAGGGGGUGCAAACGAGUCGACUUUAAGCAACCUAGACAUACCUAGGCUCAGCACAUGUUAACAAGGAGCUAGCUCAACAGAACUCUAGCUGCCCUAACAAAAUGAACUCUAGAUAGAAUUACAAUUGCAAAGUUGGCUGAUAGUUGGUUAGUAAUGAUCUUGAGUCGAUCUCAGGCCAUUUUUAGAAGAAGAAAAAUACUAGAAAUUAUUCUGAUUUUCAUCCUCUUUCUCCAGAUAAAGUACCUAUGGUACUCGAGCUAUGUGGUCAAAAUAGAAAGAGCUGGCCUUACUCAAACUCGGCUAACUAUUGAACCGAGCUAUAAAGAAGCUCAUACUCAACCAAUUUUCUUUUGAGUCUGUCUUGAGUCAAGCUCUUUUUCUUUUUCUUUUUCUUUUUGCUCUUGAGCGGUUCACGAGCCUUGGGCUUUUCUUGCAACCCGUUUUGUCCUGACAGACGAUUGUGCUCGAAAGUUCUUCUCUCACAUGUUCAACUUCUUGUUCAUGGGCUUCUCGAGCUAUCAGGAUUACUUGCGCCAUUUUUUAGACCUAUUUUCUUUUACUCAAUACCCAUUUCACAGGCUUGGGGGCGGAGAAAAAACCUUGAACGUCACUCAUCCAAAUAAAUCUUAUUUUGACGAACNNNNNNNNNNNNNNNNNNNNNNNNNNNNNNNNNNNNNNNNNNNNNNNNNNNNNNNNNNNNNNNNNNNNNNNNNNNNNNNNNNNNNNNNNNNNNNNNNNNNNNNNNNNNNNNNNNNNNNNNNNNNNNNNNNNNNNNNNNNNNNNNNNNNNNNNNNNNNNNNNNNNNNNNNNNNNNNNNNNNNNNNNNNNNNNNNNNNNNNNNNNNNNNNNNNNNNNNNNNNNNNNNNNNNNNNNNNNNNNNNNNNNNNNNNNNNNNNNNNNNNNNNNNNNNNNNNNNNNNNNNNNNNNNNNNNNNNNNNNNNNNNNNNNNNNNNNNNNNNNNNNNNNNNNNNNNNNNNNNNNNNNNNNNNNNNNNNNNNNNNNNNNNNUUCGGCCAGUUCUCUUGGAUUUUUUUUCCUUUUGGUUUCGGUUUGCAUUUCCCUUUUUUGCCCUUUAUUUCCCCGUUUAUCGCUUUUUCGUGUUAUUCUGUGAUUCUAAUUUCCUUUUAUUUUCUUGUAUUACUUUUUUAUUUUAUGUUUUUAUAAAUUAUUUAAAAUAUGAUGAACAAUUAUCAAACACAUAAUAAAUACUUUUUAAAUACGUGAUCAACAUUUUUAUAAUACACAUGAUAGAGUUUGUAAUACAUGGUGAAUAUUUUUCAAUUUUUUAAAAAAAUCUUAUAAAUAUUUAAACUUGCUUUAACAAUAUUUAAUACGAACAUCAUAGUAUGUUUUACUAUUCUUACUAUGACAGCACUUUUUUGAACCGGGAAAUCUAUAUGCAUUUUUACGAAAAGGAAUGGUUGUUUGCCCGACAAUUUGCGGACUCACUCAGCCAUCCAUGUAACCCAUCGACCACUGCAGUUGUGAUACAAGAAAAUCAAGCCCACCUGCCACCGAUCAACUAGAAAAGAUGGCGCAUUGAAGGACAGGCGUGGCUAUACCUCGGUUGCUGCGAAAGGUAACGCCUCAUCGCCUCAAGGAAUGCCCCCCUAAUGGGCUGGUGCAGUGACACUUUGUUCAUGGGUUAGUUUACCUUUUUUUUCAUUUUUCCUUUACAGUUUUGUUUUAUAUAUUAUAAAUAUAUAUAUCCCAUAAAAUACUCUACUUCAAUUUUUUUAAACAUUCACUGCACAGAUAAAAAAUGUCAGAUUCUCAACAUACAAAAUAAAAAAUGCCAUGCAGUGAAAAAACAGUGUUCACCCAUGCAAACAAUGUUCAUGCAACCGAUAUGAAUGUUGAUGCAGCCAGAAAGUAUGCACGACAUUAAAAAAAUGUUCAUGUAUAUCAACAAUAUGUUAAUUACGUUUAAAUUUUCUAACACAAUAUAGAAAAGCCCGCGUAAUUUUAAAAAAAAGUGUAUCUUCAAAAAAUAAUGUGAUAUGAAAAAAUCAUGAAAUUUGUGAAAAUUGUCCCUUAAAUGUAAAAGCAUUUGUACAGUUAAAAAUGUUUUGUGCAAUUAAAAAAGUGAACUUGUAUUAAAAAAAUGUUUAUGUUUAUUAAAAAAAGUAUUUAAAAAGUGUACAUCAUGUCUUCGAAAAAUGUUCAGCGUUGUUCAGAAAAAAUGUUAUGGUGUACACGAAAAAUGUACAACAUGUAUUGAAAAAGGUUUUCAUUCAUUUUUAAAAAAAGAAGAAAAUGAAGAAGAGAAAUAAAUUGAAGCGAAAAACUUAAGAAACACAAAAACUGAAGAAAGAAACAUAGAAAACCGAAGAAACCUAAAUUAAAAAAUCGGGGGAAAGGAGUAAAUACAAAAAAUGAAUGAAAUUGAGAAGCAUCCAUAAAUCUCGCAGCGGGUGAGAAACAGCCCGGGCGGCCACCUUUGCUGCUUGCCGAUCGAGGGUGGCGCCGCGCCCCGCCCGGCUGUUUCCCCCUCAAAGCAGGCAAGACAUACCAUGCCGCCGAAGCGGUUGGUGCAUGAUGCAAACGAGCCCCGUACGUGGCGUUUGCAAAACCUGGUCGAUCGGUGCCGAUCCGCGUGUCCCGAUCGACCAUAGCUUAUGUGUUGAGCUUGACGUAGCUGGAGCUCGGAGGAGCCAAAUUAGGUUGGUUGGGGAGCAAGCUGGCUAGCCGGACGGAUUCGCAACGGCUUGCGUAUGCAUUUGUGUGAGCGGUGACGAGUACCGAGCUCAAAACAGAAAAAGAAAAAAAAAAGAAAAAACAAGGAACGAGUGUAUCGCGCACGCCUAGUCGCGUAUGCAUUUGAAUUUGAAUUUGAUAGAUCUUCUGCGUGUUGUUUAAUUUGCUUACUACAAAGAGUGUAUCCACUGACAGCUCGCCCGUUGGCCACUGGCUGCAUGCAUGCAUGCCGGACUGUUUCCCCGUGCAUUCGUGUCGCCCAAUUUCCUAGAGCAUGGAAACUCCCACAGUAGUACCACAAUUCAAACGCUUGAUUCGCAUAAGGCCAUUUUUUUGUGUAUAUGGGAAGAUGUAGAACACUGAUAAUGACAACUUGACACGGUGACAGUCUCACAAAGGUGAUGCCAGCUACUUUUGGCAAACUUGCUUAAUAAAAAAUACAUACUCCCUACGUCCCAAAAUAAAUGUCUCAACUUUGUACUAACUUUAAUAUAAAGUUGUAUUAAGCUCGAGACAUUUAUUAUGGGACGGAGGGAGUAUUAAUUAGCACCUUCCAUCAAAUGAAAUAUACUUUUCAGUACUACCUUCCGCCAAAAUGCUAACUGUCCGCUGCAAUUUCGCUAAAUACUAGCCAUCAUGGGCGGGCAUAGAGUAGGGACGGUAUCUGGUGGCUUUUUGUUGGUCAUGCAGAUGUCCGGACUUUCGUAAAGCUUUCCCACAUUUGCCUUUGAUUUGCCGGAAAGAGUAUGUCCAAACUGCUCGACCGACUAAUGCAGGACCACGUUUGAUAACAAACUGAGUCCAGACACCGCGGUCCGGACGUUUGCGGGAUAUUUGACGAUCCGGCUUGGAGAUGCCCUAAGAUAUAGCAGUCCUAUGUAUAGAUCGGCACCGCAUGCGAUUCUCGUACGCACUUACUGGCGGCCACUGAGGGAUGGAAAGGAACAAACUUCACAUCACGUACAAAUCCACAAGAAGAAAAUAAUGCCAGGAACUCUACUUCCAGAUCACUUCACUAUAAAUACAGGCACGAAGCAUUCGUGCUGCCUCACACGAGCCACCGAAGCACACCCUAGCUUGGCCUCACUUAUCCUCGAGCACACGCCAGCAGAGGUUUCAGCCAUGAGUAGCCGCCGUGUUGGCCUCCUUCUCCUCUCCCUUCUGGCCACCACCCUCACGUGCAGCGCGGAUCCGCCGCCGGUGCACGACACGGACGGCAACGAGCUGCGCACCGACGCGAACUACUACGUCCUCCCGGCCAACCGCGCCCACGGCGGGGGGCUCACGAUGGCGCCGGGCCACGGGCGCCGCUGCCCGCUGUUCGUCUCGCAGGAGGCCGACGGGCAGCGCGACGGCUUACCCGUGCGCAUCGCCCCGCACGGCGGCGCGCCGUCCGACAAGAUCAUUCGGCUGUCGACCGACGUCCGCAUCUCCUUCCGCGCCUACACGACAUGCGUGCAGUCCACCGAGUGGCACAUCGACAGCGAGCUGGUGUCGGGCCGCCGGCACGUGAUCACCGGCC
This 80087-nucleotide long non-coding RNA is filed under the name Triticum aestivum (bread wheat). RNAcentral describes it as "long non-coding RNA (TAES_LNC022826)". The record is from RNAcentral. Lineage: Eukaryota; Viridiplantae; Streptophyta; Magnoliopsida; Poales; Poaceae.